This 47680-nucleotide long non-coding RNA is filed under the name Lynx pardinus (Iberian lynx). The stretch from base 18747 to 18831 matches the Rfam family "tRNA". The record is from RNAcentral. Lineage: Eukaryota; Metazoa; Chordata; Mammalia; Carnivora; Felidae.
AGACACUUUUCAAACGAUGGUCGCUCUCCCCUGGGUCUGACAAAGCCAGCCUCGCGACGCACCAGCAGGGUGAGAACGGAGGCAAACCUCCCCAGCACUGGGAGAAACCCCAAGCCCCACCCCCCCGUCCCUCCCGCCCUGAGGCUCGGCCCGCCCUCCUUCCUUCCCUAUUGGCUCGGUGGCUCCNNNNNNNNNNNNNNNNNNNNNNNNNNNNNNNNNNNNNNNNNNNNNNNNNNNNNNNNNNNNNNNNNNNNNNNNNNNNNNNNNNNNNNNNNNNNNNNNNNNNNNNNNNNNNNNNNNNNNNNNNNNNNNNNNNNNNNNNNNNNNNNNNNNNNNNNNNNNNNNNNNNNNNNNNNNNNNNNNNNNNNNNNNNNNNNNNNNNNNNNNNNNNNNNNNNNNNNNNNNNNNNNNNNNNNNNNNNNNNNNNNNNNNNNNNNNNNNNNNNNNNNNNNNNNNNNNNNNNNNNNNNNNNNNNNNNNNNNNNNNNNNNNNNNNNNNNNNNNNNNNNNNNNNNNNNNNNNNNNNNNNNNNNNNNNNNNNNNNNNNNNNNNNNNNNNNNNNNNNNNNNNNNNNNNNNNNNNNNNNNNNNNNNNNNNNNNNGGCGGGCGGGAGCUCCUCCCGGCCCCCCUGGACCCUUGCAAGCGGCCACCCUCCACCAACUUUAUUUCCCGGCGCACGGAGGGGCGGAGGUCGAGUAGGCUGGCGGCGAUUUGCUGCUAGCUUGAUUGUAUUUAUUGUCCUGUGCGGUGGCACUGCCUCCACCCCGACCGGGCCCAGACUGGCAGGUCGGGGACGGGAGUUGACAGUUUCCGCGCCACCACCCUUGCAGUCGCUCCUUGAGCUCCUGUCCCGCGGUCCUCACCCAUCUGUCAUCUCCCCCGUGUGCCUUGGUCUGCUGCUUUUCUUAUGCCUGUGACACCCUUUGCCGGGGCGAGAGACUCUCCAGAGGAUCCUCUGAGACAUCUGCUGUCUGUCUCCGGCAUCAUUGGAGCCUUGGCUGAGAUGCCUCUUGGUCUCUGGCAGGAUUAAACUGUUCGGGAAAUAACCCAGGAAGACCCCGGCACCACAGCGUGGAGGUCAACGAGUUGUUUAGUAGUGGCGGGGAUAAGGCCAGAGGCUUUAAGAACCGUCCCUCUAGCCUUAAUUCUUAUCGUGCGAAACAAAACAAAACAAAACAUUCCCUAGAUGCUCAACGGACCAUACACACCCAGUGACAGCACUUGGCAGUUGAUGAGGUUUGUUUUAAGCAGAUAGAAAAUUUUAAGGGAGUUGCAUCUCGUGUUGAGUACGUGGGUGUUAAUAGGGACCAACGUUUCCUUGAACAUUGAAUUCAACCCGCAUUUUUCCUAGGGUUUGUUUAACAAAUUGAUAGGACAAACCGAAUUGGGCUUUCCUUCCUGAUGAUUCUUGGCUGAUCUGCUGUUACUUUAAACUUCCACACCCAGAAACCUUAUGCUAAUAAAGAUGUUGACAAUGAGCUUUCAUUUUAUAGAUGUAGUUAUUAAUAUGGGGUAUCUGUUUUAAAGAGCUUUACAAGUAGUCAGCAACUUUUUUUUUUAAUAACUCUUUGCUGUCCUUCAUAUUGUUACUGCCUAAAGAUUGAGAAUUUGGAGACAAGAAUUAGGAGAAAAUGAGUUACUAUAUAAUUUAAUUUACAUGAAAGCAGUGUGUAAGCCAUAAAAUGAUCUAUAAAUUUAGUGUAUAUUUAUUGAGCAUGGACUGUGUGUCAGAGUUUUCUGAACACAUAAAUAUCCCCUCCUUCAUGGAGCUUACAUUCUAGUGGGGGAUCUCAGAUAAUAAAAUAUGUGCUAUGUCAUUCGGUGUCAAGGACUAGAGAGAAAAAGCAGGGAAGAGGGAGAGAUCAGGAACUGGAAAAGGGUUUUAACUAGGGGUAGUCAGGGAAGACUGCCUAGAGAACGUGGCGUCUGAGCCCAAGACCAGAAAGGAGACGGUAAUCCGUACCCCUCUCUAGGGGAAGCAUGUUCAAGUAGACGGAAAGGCACUUGCAAAAGCUUUGAGGCAGGCGUGUACUGGGCAUGUUUGUGGACAGCUCAAAGUCAGAUUUGGCUGUGGUGGAGUGAGCAAAGUAAGAGAUCAUCUCUAGUAAGAGAUGAAAUCAGGUGAGUGGGAAUGGGAAAUCAGAUUGGGUGAGGUCUUGUAGGCCUUUGCAUGGGCUUGGUCUUACACUCUGAGUGAGAAAAGGACUCAUCCCUCUGAAUAAAGAAGAGAUAUAAUGAGACUUUUACAAGGGUCACUCUGGUGGCUGGAUGAAGAAUAGACUUUGGAUGAAGGAGAGGGUAGAAGCAGAGAUAUCAGCUCAGGGACUCCUGCCAUAAUUCAGGCCAUGGAUGAUUAUCAUUUGGACCAGAGUAGAAUCGGUGGAGUGGUUGAUUUCUGGCUGAAUUGAGGAUACACUCAACAGGAGACUUAAAGACAACUACAGUUUUUGUCCUAAGCGAGUGCAAAGAUGCAGUAGACAUGUACUGAGAUGAGGUUUAUGAGAUGGGCAGUGGGUUAGGAGUUGGUUAGAAGACUACAAAAUGAGACAUCCAAGUAGAGAUUAUUGGUAGUAGAUUCUGGUAACUUUGUAUUGAAGACACUUUUCACAUUAUCUUGACUUUAACAGGGGUUUAGUAUUUCACCCAUGAACUGCCAACCUUUUUCAGACUCCUUUUCUUUUUAGCUCUUUUGGACCAACUUAUUCAUUCUUUUCACGAAAUGUAGCUUUGCUUUUAUUUGCUUGCACUCAGAACAUGUUUGUUAGUUUCAUUUGUAGAGAAAGCCGUAUAAUCCAGAAUUUCAGAGUACCUUUUUAGUUUGUUGCUGUGUUUAACUUGAACACCUCAAAUGACUAAGCUUUUCCCAAAUUAUGUUUAGAUACCUGGCUUAAGUUCAAGAAUUUUUUUAAGUCUCAGAAAUCUUGUUAUCAAACGUGGCUUCACUUGGCCAUUUGUGAAAUUACAAUGGAAAUGACCUGUAUUUUUAAUACUUUAUUAAUAAAUCAGUAAUAUACAGGGAUUAUCCUAAUUCUUUUGUUUCAUUAAAGAUGGCUUGAAAUAAAUGGGCCAUCACAUGUUAAAUGGAGAUCUUUUCAUCAAAUUAUGCAAUAUUUGGAGCCAUAGAAUUUGGCCUGUAAAACUUGUAUCAAAAAUAUAUCAGGAUUCUAGAGUUUAAGGUCUAUACCUUCCCUUAAGAACCAGGCUACAAGUACACGACUGUUCGGGUUACCUUUCCCUUUUCUCUAAGUUGUGCCAAGACAUCUACUUCUUUUAUUUGUAUCAUUCCUUCGAAUAAAGUAAUUUGGUACCCCCUCCUCCGAAAAAAGAACCCAGGCUAUAAACUAAUAUAUUUAAAUGGAUUUUCAAUCUAAAUAUAUUCUGAAAGUACAUAAAAAGACGUCAUAUUAAUAACUAAUUAUAAACAGUCCAUGGGAACACCAUAUGUUCUUUGAUACUGCUUUCUUUUGCUAUUGUUUCUCACCGGUAUUUGUCUUUCUUUCUCUUAAUUCUUCUGGCCUUCAUUUGUAGUAAGUGAGAGAGACCUGAUACAUUUUGAAACUUUGAAUGGUUUUCAGGUCUAAUUGUGGGGAAGAAAAAAAAAAAGAAAAAUCUUUUUUAACAAUAUGAAAAAGUAGUGCUUAAAGUAUGAUCAUCUUAAUUAAUCAAGAAAGGAAUCAAACGGUUUUCCUAAAGGCUCGUCAUUGUUCCAUUCAAAUGUGAUUCCUUGAAAUUGAAACUCAAAAUGUGUGAGGAAAUAAGAGAACUUCUAGCCACUUUAACUGAGUGGAAGAAAUGGAUGAAUGAUAAGAAUACUGUGCAUACUUAGAAAUGUUGAUACAAUUCAUCUUUAAAAGGUAAAGAGGAUAGAUUUUUGCCAGAAACCUGAAGAAUCACAUAUUUCAAAUUGAAAAAUGAGGUAGGGGAAAGUGAAGCUUAGAAACUAUACAUUGAACAUUUUGACACUAAAUGAUUCCUAGAAAAAUUAUAGACCAGAUUGCCAAGCAGAUGCUUUGUAAUCUGUGAUUAGAAAACACGGCACUGAUUAUUAAGACCCAGAGUUAGUUUUUUAAGAACAAGUCAUAUUAACCUCUUGCUCACUUUGUCAAAGAUAUGAUAGUAUUAAAUAAUCUUUUUAAGCACCUCACAUCUUACAAAUUGCGUUCCCAUUUAUUAUUUUAUUUAACUCUCACAACAUCCCUGUCAAGUAGUGACAGAUGAGGAGUCCUCAAUGGUAGGAGCCCUGGGAAGACACAAAGGGGACAGAUGUGGGAGAUGUUAGAAAGGACUUGCCUAGAUACGGAGUAAAAGAAAGGGAGGAAUCAAAGUGGGCUUUGGGGAUUCUAGACUGUCUGACUGGGUGGAUGGUAAUGCUGGUAAUUGAUCUUAAUUUUGAAAAUAUAGGUGGUGGAACAGAUUUGGAGAUGCGAAAUUCAUCAGUUCACAUCAGUUUGGUGAGACUAGUUGUUUUCUUUGUUGGAACAGAGUCAGGUAUAAUUAGAAUUUUCAAAAUAUAUAGGUCUGGAGCUCAGAAGAAGAGUCUAACCCAAAUAAAAAAGGCUUCAUUCAUUCAGUAGACAUAUCCUUUCAAAUACUUUUGGUAAGGAAGGGAGGACAGUGGGGAAGCUUGAGCUGGGAGAUGGCAUUGGGGAAGGUUUAUUUUUCUUUAAAGAUGAAAGAGCCAAGGAACUUUAGUGGACUGAUAGAAAGAGUCCAUUGAAGAGGAAAGAAAAUUGAAGUCACAAAAAUUGAAGUCACAAGAGAAAGAAGAUAAUCAGACAUAACCUCAGCAGAAAUGGAAGGGUUGGGAACAAGAGCACAGGUGAAAGGGCUACCCUGUAGAAGAGCAGUGAUGUAUCUUCCUAGUAUUUAAAAAAAAAAAAAAAAAAGGAAAUAGAGACUAGAUACAUAAUAUAAUAUAGCAUCUCUUGUCUCUGUGGGAAUCAGGUUAUGUGCUGAAAUUGAGGAGGCAGAGCAUGGAUUGGGGUAUAUUUCAUGGGAAGAGUUACUGUUGUGAUGGGAAAAGGGACUUGGCCAGGGACCACUAACCUAAUUACUGAAUAGUGAUAAACACCCUUGAAAUCACAAAUGAGUAGAGCAGCCAAUCAGAAUGGUUAAGCAGUUUUCUCCAGCAGUUCUCCAUAACAGUGCAGAAAAUGCUUGGUUAGACUAAAUCUGGAUGGGGAGUGGAAGGGGGGUUGUGAUGUAGAACCUGGAAGGGGGUGGUACAGAGUCAAGGAACUGAGGGUGCUAAUGAAGUUGCUAAUUGAAGAGCUGAACCAUAGGUAGGUAUCCUGCUUGAUUGAAGAAGACAGCCAAGCCAAGAUGGAGCUGAUAAAUGUGGAGAACAAAGAGGGUGAAGAAUUUCAACGAGUAAGCUGUAGGAUUAAUGGAAGCAAAGGAGUACUAGAGAUGGAAAAAUAGGCAUGUGAUGUGAGGUCCUAACUUUAAGAUUCUAGAGUCAGAACAGUUGCAAGUGAUGAUAAGGGUCAAAGUAUGGCCAGUGAUGAUGGGUAGCCAAGAUUAAUAGUGCUUAUGCAACAAUCAUAAUGUUAAUAAAACUACAAUUUAUCAAGUACUGCUGUAUACUCGUCUCUAUACUAAAUGCUUUGCAUAGUUUAUCAUACUCAUUUUUCACAACUAUCCCUUGAGGCACAUAUUAGGGACUCUAUUUUACAAAUGAAGAAAUGGGUGCUCGGUGAAGUAAAGUAACUUUCCCAAAGGUACACAACUAGGAAGUACCUGAUUCUUUCUAGCCCCAAAACCCUUAUGCCCACUUAAUACACUAUGCUGUUCUUCUCCAAAGUAGGGGUCAUUGAAGAAGAGGAAAUCAAAGAGCUCUAAAUCCUAGUAUGUUGGGAUUAGAUUAUUUUUUCUUAUGGAUAAUGAAGCCCUCAGAAACAACAGAUCUUGUGUGGAGAGGAAGACAGGACUUUUGUAACAAAGUUCUCAAUAAAUGGAGAUGAAAGACUCAAAGUCAGUAGUUGACAACUAUAAAUAUAGCUAUAAUUUAGCCUUAGAAGUAGAUAAAAUGGGUAAUAAUGAUGCACAAGUCACUUUGAGAACCAGAUGAUAACCAGAAUAAUACCGACUUGUCUUCCUGGCCUGGGAUCUGGGUGUAUACAGUGAUGUAUUAAGAGGAGAAGAUUAAAUGCUCCUCUUGUGUAAAGGUAGAGGAUACAGGGACAUUUCUUCACAACAGAACUAGGGUUCCUAAAGCUAGGGAGUGAAGUGUCCAGGGAGGAAGAAGCACUCAUCUAGUUGCGUAUGAAAAAUCAGAAAGGAUAGGUGGGCAGGUAGGGUCAUCAUAUAAUUUAUUGACCAAAUACGUGUUAUUUUGAAAAUGAAAAGAGUGUCAUUAAUAGUUACCCUGGGACAGCAGGCAUAAACUAGGGCUGUCCUAGGCAAAUCAAGAUGGGUAGUCAUAUCUGUGAUAUGUAACAAGAGGAGCUAUCAUCUUGGAAAAGGGCUGUGGAUGUUGAGAAUGAACAAAUUGAGCCCUAAGUUAGAGGGACAUGAAUGGGGCUUACUAGCCUGAGAUUAUUCUCUCCAGCCCUGUAAUACUGCCCGGACAUGUUCUGGGUAUGUCUUGUUCUAGAAGAGUCAGAAGAUCUGAAGGAAGUUCUGGAUUCAUCUCUCUAUGAAGAGUUGGAAUCCAUUAGCAUAUAGGUGGUACUAGAAACCUUAGAAGUGGAUGAGAUCAUCAAAAGAGAACACAAAGAAUGGGAAGUGAGGAAUAGGACAGGAUCCAGAGGCUGCCCAACAUGAAGGAGCUGGCAAAGAAGAAUCCAGCUAAGGAGACUGAGGAGGAGUGGUCAGAAGGGUAGAAGGAAAACCAGAAGAGAUUUGUCAUCUCACAAAUCCAGAAGGAAGAGAGAUUUAAGAAUGGAUGAUUAAUAGUCUCAUUUGCUUUAUGUUCCUCAGAGGUCAAAGAAGAUAAGGACUGGAAUGUGUCCAUUGGGUUGGAUUUGGCAAUUAGAAGGUUAUUGUUGAUCUUGGCCUGAGUAGUUUUGGUAGAGAAGUGUGAGCACAAGUGCAGUUCACAGAGAGGUGAGCUGAGGCGAGGCAGGAGGACUGCUUCAAGUAUAGAUUACCCUUGAGGAAUCUUGAAAGACAAGGGUAUCAACAGGAUAUAUCCGGAUACUUAUAUUUAUAUUUGUAUUUGUAUUUGUACUUAUAUUUAUUUAUUUUAGACAGUGAAGAAGUCAGUGGAGAUGAGGGGUUGAAAACUAGGAGGGAGUUGGAUUUCCAACCAAUGCCUCCUAGUAAGGUCAGUAAUUUUGUUGUAAUGAAAAGAGUGAAAGUAAGAGGAAGCUACAUUGUAAAUCAAGUAAGACAAACUUUGUAAUAACUACAAUUCAUCAGAACCUGGAAUAGGUAGGAAGAAGAGAGAGAAUUCCUAAUUUGGUGAAAUAGUGAAAAGUGACAUCUAGGUUGUGGACUAACUCUAGGAUUCCUUUUUUUCUCUACAGUUUUUGGGGGGAGCGGGAAGCAUGCGCAUAAAGUUUAUUCGUUCAGGAUUCCUGAUCCCAUAACACUAAUGAUUUUUAUAAUUUUCAUCGAUUAAUUUUUAUCAAGUUCUUGGACCAAAGUUUCUUUUGCUAGAUACAACAUUAACACAUCUCGCAAACACUGUCAACGCAACAUUUUAGAGCUUGAAAAGCAACAAGGGAUAAUCUCAUUCCACCUUCUCAUUUUUUACACGGGGAAUCAAAGAUCUAGGGAUGCUGGCACACAGGUGGAGGCACCGAGCCUCAGUCUGACUCUUAGUCCAGAACUGUAUCUCCUACAACCUGCUAGAUUUUUAUCCAGGCUACUUUCUUGUUGCUAAGGCAUCUUCUCCUUCCGUUCUUUGACUUGACAGAUUGUAGAAGACUAACUUUUUAAAUAAGUAAAAUAGAGGUCUUAAUAUAUGGAUUUAUUGUGAUAGAUGAACAAAAUGCUCUUCGCAUCUUACUGGAAAAUCACAACAUGUUGUAAUAUUAUUUUAUUAUUUUAUUAUUUUUAUUAAAUUAUUCCAAGCCCUUCUUGGAAAGUUGAACUUUCUUUUAAGAUAUCUCUUUUGCGGGGCGCCUGGGUGGCGCAGUCGGUUAAGCGUCCGACCUCAGCCAGGUCACGAUCUUGCGGUCCGUGAGUUCGAGCCCCGCCUUGGUCUCUGGGCUGAUGGCUCAGAACCUGGAGCCUGUUUCCGAUUCUGUGUCUCCCUCUCUCUCUGCCCCUCCCCCGUUCAUGCUCUGUCUCUCUCUGUCCCAAAAAUAAAUAAACGUUGAAAAAAAAAAAGAUAUCUCUUUUGCAAAGUCUCUUUUUAAGAAGUCUCUUCUCUUUAAGAAGCCAAAAAGAAUAUAGACUUCCAGACCAUAAAAAUGUGGUUUCUAGGAAUAGCUUAUCCAAUUUCCUGGCUAUCAUUCUUGACUAUCUCUGGAUAGUUCAACUGUCUAAAAUCAUAACAGUAAUAUUUCUCUUUUAUGGUACUUGAGAAUAUUAAGGUAUAUAAAAUUAUAUUUAACGUAAUAUUAUAUAUGUAUAUAUAUCAUUUACAUAUAUUGUACGUUAUAUAUAUUUGGGACAAUUUUUGAAGUCAUUUGAUAAAUACUGAGAAAUAUCAAUGUUCUUUCCUCUUCCUUUUUGGUUUUUGUUUGUCUUUCUCUCUCUCUUUCCUUAUUUUUGAAAUAUAAUUAACAUAGUGUUAUAUUAGUUUCAGGCGUACAAUAAAAUGAUUCAACAAUUCUAUAUGUUACUCUAGUGUUCAUCAUGAGAAGUGCAUGCGUAAUCCUCAUUACCUAUUUCACCCAACCCCCCACCCACCCACCCAUGUCUGGUAACCAUCAGUUUGUUCUCUAUAGUUCGGUCUGUUUCUUGAGCCGCCUGAGUGGCUCAGUCAGUGAAGCGUCUGACUCUUGAUUUCGGUUCAGGUCAUGAUUUCACAGUUCAUGAGUUUGAGACACACUUUGGGCUCUGCAGUGACAGUGAGGAAACUGGUUGGUAUUCUUUGUCAGUCUGUCUGUCUGUCUGUCUCUCUCUCUCUCCCCCUCCCCCACUCACAUUCUCAUUCUCUCUCUCUCUCUCUCUCAAAAAUAAAUAAAUAAACAUUAAAAAAAAAAAAGAGUCUGUUUCUUGGUUUGUCUCUCUCUUUCUCUUUUUCCCCCCAUUGCUCAUUUGUUUUGUUUCUUAAAUUCCACAUAUGAGUGAAAUCAUAUGGUAUUUGUUUUUCUCUGAGUUUUUUCACUUAGCAUUAUACUCUAGCUCCAUCCUGUUGUUGCAAAUGGCAAGAUUUCAUUCUUUUUUAUGGUUGAAUAAUAUUCCAUUGUAUAUGCAUACCACAUCUUGUUUAUCCAUUCAUCUAAUGAUGAACCCCUGGGUUGUUUCCACAUCUUGCCUCUUGUAAAUAAUACAGCAGUAAACAUAGGGGUGCAUGUAUCUUUUUGAUUAGUGUUUUCAUUUUCUUUGGGUAAACACCUAGUAAAGGAAUUACUGGAUAAUAUGGUAGUUCUAUUUUUAAUAUGUUGAGGAACCUCUUUACUCUUUUCCAUAGCAGCCAUGCAAGUUUACAUUCUCACCAGCAGUGCACAAGGAUUCCUUUCUCUCUACAUCCUCACCAACACUUGUUAUUCCUUGCCAUUUUGAUUCUAGUCAUUCUGACAGUUGUAAGAUGAUAUUGUAUCGUGGUUUUGAUUUGCAUCUUUUUUUCUAAGUUUAUUUAUUUUGAGAGAGAGAGAGAGAGAGAGAGAGAGAGACAGAGGUGGGGGCGGGGGGUGGGGAGAGUCAGAGAAAGGGAGACAGAGAAUCCCAAGCAGGCUCUGCACUGCCAAUGCAGAGCCCCAUCGCAGGACUCGAACUCAUGAAACCGCAAGAUCGUGACCUGGGCAGAAGCCAAGAGCUGGACACUUAACUACCUGAGCCACACAGGUGCCCCAGAUUUGCAUUUUUCUGAUGAUUAACAAUGUUGAGCAUCUUUUCAUGUGUCUGUUGGCUGUUUGUAUGGCUUCUUUGGAAAAAUGUGUAUUCAGGCCCUCUAGCCAUUUUUAAUCAGAUUAUUUCUUUUUUGGUGUUGAUUCAUAUAAGUUCUUUAUAUAUUUUAACUGUUAACCCCUUUUCAGAUAUAUCAUUGCAAGUAUCUCUGCCAUUUCUUCGGUUGCUUUUUUGUUUUUUGGAUGGUUUCCCUCACUGGGCAGAAACUUUUUUUUUGGUGUAGUCCCCAAUAGUUUUAAUUUUGCCUUUUUUUUUUUUUUUUUCCUUAGGAGAUAGAUCUAGAAAAAUGUUUCUGUGACCGGUGUCAGAGACAUUCCUGCCUGAGCUCUUUUCUGGGAUUUUUAUGGUUUUAGGUAUUAUGCUUUCAUUUAGGUCUUUAAUCCCUUUUGAACUUAUUUCCACAUAUAGUAGAAGAAACUCGUCUGGUAAGACUGUCUUUUUCCCAUUGUAUUUUCUUGCCCCUUUUGUCAUAGAUUAAUUGACUGUGUAGGCAUGGGUUUAUUCUGGGCUCUCUAUUCUCUUCUACUGAUGUGUCUGUUUUUGUGCCCGUACCAGACUGUUUUGAUUACUAUAGCUUUGUAGUAUAUGCUGAAAUGUGAGAUUGUGAUACCUCCAGCUAUGUUCUUUCUCAAGAUUGCUUUGCCUAACUAAUUUAAAGGGAUUCAUGUACCCCUUUGUUGUACCUCCUAUACUGGAAUUAAAAUUUUUAAAAACACUAAAAAAAUAGAUUGCUUUGGCUUUUCAGGGUAUUUUGUGGUUCUAUAUAAAUUUUAGUAUUAUUUGUUUUAGUUUUGUGAAAAAUGUUGUUGGUUAUUUUUUCUCUACUUUUUUUAAAUGUUUAUUUUUUAAUUUUUUAAGUUUAUUUAUUUUGAGAGAGAGAGUGCAAACAGGGUAGAGGCAGAGAGAGAGGGGGGAGAGAGGAUCCCAAGCAGGUUCUGCACCAGAGCCCGAUGGUGGGGCUCAAACUCACGAACCACGAGAACAUGACCCAAGCCAAAGGCGGAUGCUUAACCAACUGAGCCACCCAGGCGCCCCUAUUUAUUUAUUUUUGAGAGAGAGGAAGAACACAAGCUGGAGAGGGGGGCAGAGAGAGAGACACACACACAGAAUCUGAAGCAGGCUCCAGGCUCUGAGCUGUCAGCCCAGAGCCCGAUGCAGGGUUCAAACCCAUGAACUGUGAGAUCAUGACCUAAGCCGAAGUCAGAUGCUUAACCAACUAAGCCACCCAGGCACCCCUAUUUUUUCUCUACUUAAAAAAAAAAUUUUUUUAAUGUUUAUUUUUGAGAGAGAGAGACGGAGUUUAAGUGGGAGAGGGGCAGAGAGAGAGGGAGAUACAGAAUCUGAAGCAGGCUCCAGGCUCUGAGCUGCCAGCACAGAGCACGACACGGGGCUCGAACCCAUGAACAGCAAGAUCAUGACCUGAGCCAAAGUCGGCCACUUAACCGACUGAGCCACCCAGGUGCUUCUGUUUUUUCUCUAUUUUUACGCCUGCUUUUUUUGGCAUGGUUUAACCAUGUCCAAUCCCCAAGAUAGUUGUUGGGAUGGAUUUGCUAUUUUUUUAGGAAUUUGUUCUUAUGUUUAACUGUUUCAAAGUUAACUGUGUCUUUGCUUAGUGGAAAUAUAUUUUAGUUAAAUAUAUUUAAAUGAUCUGUGGUAGCAUUUGGGUUUUGGCUGAGUGUGUUGUUUUUAGUAAUUUAUUUAUCAUAAGUGAAAUCAAUUCUAUAUGCUCAUUUGAGUAUUAUGAACUUUUAAAGAGCAAUAAUAGUAUAUUAAUUUUUUCCUUUCUUCUUUCUCUUCGAUCUUUAAGAUUGCUCUGAUCAAAAUGUGAUUUGGUACAAUAGAAUUUUAAUUAGUUCUGUAGGUUCAUUUGUCUGAGUUCCUUAGAUGGAAUAAUAAUUGUAAUUGCAUACGUAUUAUUUCAACAGUGUAAUUAUUAUACUGAGUUUGGAUGGGUGUGAAAUUAAAACAAUGGUAAGAAUGAUUUCCUCUUUUAUUAUAUUAAUGUGGCUUAUUUGAAAGGGCAACAAAACAUUUAUCUGUUCAUAAAAUCACUCAUUGUUACUGCUUCUGGGCAUUGAUUCAUUGAAGUAUACAGUUCAGUGUAUCCUGGUCGAUGGUAAAGGGAGGUUUUACUGGUGUAACUUGCAGAACAGCUGUGUCUUUCUAUCAGCUUGCGUUUAUACUACUUUUUAAUAUUUACUUGUCUAGACUUUACUGGAUCUUAAAUGCAUUGUAACUUACAGUUUAUUAAAGGUUAAAAUCCGGGGCGCCUGGGUGGCGCAGUCGGUUGAGCGUCCGACUUCAGCCAGGUCACGAUCUCGCGGUCCGUGAGUUCGAGCCCCGCGUCGGGCUCUGGGCUGAUGGCUCAGAGCCUGGAGCCUGUUUCCGAUUCUGUGUCUCCCUCUCUCUCUGCCCCUCCCCUGUUCAUGCUCUGUCUCUCUCCGUCCCAAAAAUAAAUUAAAAACGUUGAGAAAAAAAAAAAAAGAUUAAAAUCCUUUACUGUCUUCUGGAUUUCCUCUUUAAUAAUGCUUCCAGGGGCGCCUGGGUGGCGCAGUCGGUUAAGCGUCCGACUUCAGCCAGGUCACGAUCUCGCGGUCCGUGAGUUCGAGCCCCGCGUCGGGCUCUGGGCUGAUGGCUCAGAGCCUGGAGCCUGUUUCCGAUUCUGUGUCUCCCUCUCUCUCUGCCCCUCCCCCGUUCAUGCUCUGUCUCUCUCUGUCCCAAAAAUAAAUAAACGUUGAAAAAAAAAAUUGAAAAAAAAAAUUUAAAAAAAAAAUAAAANAGGGGCGCCUGGGUGGCGCAGUCGGUUAAGCGUCCGACUUCAGCCAGGUCACGAUCUCGCGGUCCGUGAGUUCGAGCCCCGCGUCGGGCUCUGGGCUGAUGGCUCAGAGCCUGGAGCCUGUUUCCGAUUCUGUGUCUCCCUCUCUCUCUGCCCCUCCCCCGUUCAUGCUCUGUCUCUCUCUGUCCCAAAAAUAAAUAAAAAAUUUUAAAAAAAUUAAAAAAAAAAAAUAAUGCUUCCAAAGAUGGUAACUGUUCUUUAAGUUUUUUCUGUUAGCCUUAUUUAAAUAUUUUGGAGAAAAUUUCUUUUUUUCUUUUUUAAGUUUAUUUAUUUAUUUUGAGGGAGAGAGAGAACUUGGGGAGGGGCAGAGAGAGAAUCUCAAGCAGGUUCCGUGCUGUUAGCACAGAGCCCAAUGCAGGGCUCGACCUCAUGAACUGCCAGAUCAUGACCUGAGCUGAAAUCAAGAGUCAGGUGCUUAACUGACUGAGCCACCCAAGCACCCCCGGAGAAUAUUUCUGAAGUCAUAUGUUCCAUACAACUGAAACAUAUUCAUUUUCUCUACACUUUAUUUUUAAAAAUAGAAUCCCAGUAAUGUAGUUUUGAUAAAACUUGAUUAUGCACAAUUUAAGGAAACAUUUAGAAUGUGUAAUUUUGAUUUUAAAUUAACUUUGAUGCUUACUGUUACUAUAUUACUAUUACUAUAUUUCUGUUUUCUGCAUACUAUACUGUCAUGGAAGUUCACAGCCCAAAAGAUAAUUAGAAAUCAUCUGUUUUGUUUUUGUUUUUAUUUAUUUUAUUUUUAUUUAUUUUGAGAGAGCAUGUAUGCUCGUGUGUGUGCGCACAUGAGCGGGGGAGGGGCAGAGAGAAAGGGAGAGAGAGAAUCCCAAGCAGGCUCUGUGCUGUCAGUGCAGAGCCUGAUGUGAGGGCAGAUCUCAUGAACUGUGAGGUCAUGAUCUGAGCCGAGAUCAAGAGACGGACACUUAACCAACUGAGCCACCCAGGUGCCCCUGUUUUUGUUUUAAUAUGUAUGAGAAAAAUGGGGAUCAGAAAGGUUAAACAUUUGCCUAAGAUUCUAAAGAGUGUUUGAGGCAAAACCAGAAAACCUGAAGUCUCUUGGUUUUUAGUGUAGUAUUCUUUAGACUAUACUGCCAACCUCUUGAACAUUUUAAUGCACUUUAUGAAAGUAAUCUCCUAACCAAAAGAUGUCUGAUAUACUAUAAAAAGUGAUAGCAUUUGGUUUUCAGUAUGUAAUUCAUUUAUAACUUUAACCCCUCUUCUUUACAUGUGUCUACAUGUUUAUACCACAGUGGUAGAAACUAAAUUGUGAUGAUACUCAAUAUAGUAGAAAAAAAUAUUAAGCAUAGUUUGAAGUUGAAAUGCAUUUGCUUAAUAUAUACUCCUUUUUUAUUUCUGUUCUCUGUCACUCUCAGUACCUUCUCUCCUACUAUCUGUCUAUCCAUCUUCAUGGAUGGUUAGAGAGUGGCAGAGUAAGCAGCUGGGUCUCAACUUGACCUCACUGCUAAUCUUUCUUGAUGUGCCACGUUUUAUAACAGUGAACACAUUUGUCUGUAAUUGACUGCCUCAACCAAAUUGUUUUUAGAAGGGAAGCUAAUUUUCACUGUGUCUAUAAGAAUUAUGAAGGAAUAAGAGGAAACUAUUGCCAUGCACACUUACGUGGUGUCUUUACAGCUUCUGUAUAUCUGUGUUCAGUAUUUCUGAAACAAUUUGCAGAAUCUUUUACCUUAUACAAGACAAAUAUUAAAAACUGAUGAUUAUGGUGCUGCUAUAUAAAAUAUUUUUAUUAUUUUCAUUUCACAUUUAGGAUAAGAUCCCAAUCUGGGUUUUUAUUGUUUCUUUAGGAGAUAUGGAAAACCGUUAUUUCUAAAAUUGAUUUUAAAGAACUUUUAAACUGUGUCCUCUGCAUUAUAAUCUUUAAAAUAGGAAGAAUAAACAUCCAAGAUUUUAUUGCUAAAGUUUUUUGUUUUUAAUCUAAAAAAUUUUUGGUAACGUUUUUUACGUGUUUCUGUAGCACUUUCCUCAGUACCUUAAAUGCCUGCUAUCGAACAGAAAAAGGCUUUUGUAAAUGUGGCUAUUUAUUUCUCAGAGUUUAAGUUGUGGGAAAAUUUCCUAAAGGAAUUUGAAUGUUAAAAUGUUUUCUAUCAAAGCUAGUAUCAAAUGAAUUGGUGUUUGUUUGUUGAGCUCUUACUAUCUGUGGCACUGUAUUAGGCAAAAAAAUUUUUUUUUUCUAAACAAAUGAGACCUGAUUUUCCUUCUUAAGGGGAGUAUAAUCUUGUUUGGAAAGAAAGAAUACAAUACCGUUAACACAAGGUGGUGAGUCUUAAGAGGCAUGUUGAAAGUAAUGAACUGGGAAUGAAUAGGAAUUCUGCAGCAGCAACAACAUGACAAGAAACAUUAGUGAAAUAGUGUUGAGACAGUGAGCACCCUUAGGAGAAGUUAUGGGGUGCUGGAACGUGUUCUGAGAUGUGCCGAGAGAUUAGAAAGGUUAGGUGGAGGGAAUGACAUAGCACGAUAAUAAGGAGUUGGGAAAUUAUUCCCUAGUAAUUGGAGUGUCAUUUAUUAUUUUAGGAAACGUGAAUGGCAUUUUUAGCAGUUGUACAAUUUGGAUUGGAUGGAAAGUAGACCAGGCAGAGUAACCAAUUAAGAAGUUGUCAGUAUUACAAGUGAGAGAGGGGAUGAGGGCCGGUGGAUGCUCCGGCAUCCAGGCAUUCAAGGUAAUGAUCAUAAUCACUAAUAAUUAUUGAUCUUCCUACAGUCUGCCCUUCCCCAUGCAACGCAUCUUAUGUGAGUUAUCCCAUGUAAUUUAAAUAUUCACAACAGAGGGGCGCCUGGGUGGCGCAGUCGGUUAAGCGUCUGACUUCAGCCAGGUCACGAUCUCGUGGUCCGUGAGUUCGAGCCCCACGUCGGGCUCUGGGCUGAUGGCUCGGAGCCUGGAGCUUGUUUCCGAUUCUGUGUCUCCCUCUCUCUCUGCCCCUCCCCCGUUCAUGCUCUGUCUCUCUCUGUCCCAAAAAUAAAUUAAAAACGUGGAAAAAAAAAAUUAAAUAUUCACAACAGGAUACUCCUGAAACCAAUGCUACACUGUGUGUCAGCGACCUUGAAUUUAAAUUAAUAAAAAAUAUUCACAGCAGGGGUGGCUGGGUGGCUCAGUUAGUUGAACAUCUGACUCUUUAUUUCAGCUCAGGUCAUGAUCUCACAGUUGUGAGCUCAAGCCCCGCCUUGGGCUCUGCACUGAGUGUGGAGUCUGCUUGGGAUUCUCCCUCUCCUUCUCCUCUACCCCUCUCCCAUUUGCACGCACAAGCUUGAAUGAAUGAAUGAAUGAAUGAAUGAAUAUUCGCAACAAUUUUACAUGCUCUUAGGUAAGACUGAGACUUAGAGGAAACCAAGUAAGCCAGGGUCAUAGAGUUAGCAAGUAGCAGAUGCAGAGGUAAACCAGCAAAGCUGUCAAACGGAAGAACUGACUGGGCCCCAGAUGAAAUGCUAUUCUGGUUUCUCCCUGAGUAACUGGGUAGAGCCCAUCAACUGAAAUAGGAGUGAGGAAGGAAGAGCUGGUUUGUUGGAGGAAGGAGUUGAUGUUUGCUUGGGAGAAUAGAAAUUUGUAUGCAGAAUCCAGAGAGUGCCUGAGUCUGUAUCCUGCCUCUGACGCUUAGUAGCUGUGUGGCCUGAAGCAGUUGCUUAACCUCACAGUGCUUCAGUUUAUGACAUGUGACAAGUGGGGAGAGAAUUGUACUUACAACAUCCUUAUGAGGAAUAAACCAGCUACUAGAGUAGUGUGCUUACAGUAGUUCCUCGUGUCUCGUAGUUGUUUUAGAUGUUAGCUGUAUCAUCACCAUCAUUCUCAUUAUUCUAUAAAAAUCCAGAGAUGUGAUUUCAAGAUGUAUGAGCCAUUUGGUGUAAAACUUCUAGCACAUUCCUCCUAGGAGGGUGUGAAGUGGCAGGAGAUGAUUUACCCUGAUGAGUCUUUGUAGUUCUUCUUAUUGCCACCUCACUAUAACUACAGUGUCUCAUUCUCCAUUCUUUUAUGGUGCUCAGGAUCAAACCUAGGUUCUUCUGAGAUAUCUGGUUCCCCAUUUGUUUGUUGUAGGGAAAAUGAACUGCUUGUGGAAGGGCUUAACUUCGGUACAUUUUGGUGUGGCUUCCUCUCAAUUUACUUCAAACUUCUGCCUUGCUGUGUUGUACCCAGGCCAGCUUUGUCGAAUGAGGGGUCAUGAUGACUUCUCUCUGGGCCAGUUACAGGUGUCCAGGCAGCCACGAUGGAGAGUGUUAACCAAGACUUCAUGGGCUUAGAGAGGGGGAGGGGAAUAGGUGGGUGUUUGUCGACUCCUGAAAUGUGGAAAAAAAAAAUAGUAUGUUCAUUUUUCUGGGGUCACUGCUUAGAUUUCCACCUGUUGCCCCCACACCACUGCCAUUUUCAUUUUAUUGAGUUUUUUAAAUCAGGCUAAGCAAUUGUACAUAAAAUUAUUUCAGCACAUUUUUGCAUUCUAUAAUACAAAUACAUAAAUGCAUAAUACAGAAUAAAAGUAGGAACAGUACAACUGUUCUUCCCCCUCCCCCCCCCCCCCCACACACAUUUACUGGUUAAGGAUUAGUGUAGCCCUGUGUUUUUAAUAUGGAACAUCUACUUCAGAGCUGACUUCUGUGACUAAUGCGUCUUGUACUUUGUAACUCCAGUUAGAGCUGAAAGUUUUACUUCUUGUUAAAAUGUGAAUACUUCUUUCUAGGAGGAGCAGAGUUUUGUGGGUUUUUUUUUCUCCAGUUCAUUUACUUCUUGAUGUAAAAGAGAAAUGUGGAAACAUAUGCAAAAAGAUAACAUGAAGCUAUAGAAUACCUUGAGAAGUUUGGGGUGGCAGGAUAUUUGACUGGUGGAAGGAAACAGCAUAGGACACAGAGGCAGGAUUACUGUCUAGUUGCAUUUGCACUUAGUGCAACAAACAGAAGUUUGUAGAGAGGUUCUUGAAGCAUGUUUCCAGGUGUGUAGAUUGAAACCUAGCAGACUUGAGUAAAAGUUCCGGAUAACAUUCAGAGAUAGUAUUUAGUGUUAAGGAAACUUCUUUGCCCAUUGUCUAAUUUUUAAUUGACCUGACAGAAGGAGAAAGGUAACGUCUUGGUUAAUAAACUUGGUUAUUUUCGUUCUACUUAAUUAGCUCUAAACAUAUCAUGUAACUCCCAAGACAACUGUCUUGGGACCUAACCAUGGGACUGUGGACCUGUGAGCCUCAGUUUUUGUUAACUGUGGAAUGUGGUUGGAUAAUAUGAUGUCUAAACUUUUCUGCCAUUGUGAAAAAUGUAUGAUUCUAACAUAUUCAUAUUCAUACCUUUAUUUAUGUCACUUAUGAAAUAGUAUAGUGUUAUCAAAUUUUUCUCCUAAGGGUUUUUAGAUUUAGUGAUUUGUUACAAAGAAUAUGUGAGAUCUUUGAGAAAGUCACUGAUCAGUCUCUAGUCAAUAUAUAUUGAACUCUGGAGAGAUGGGAUUUAGCAUGAUUAAUAGUCCAUAACAACCAGCCUUUAUUUUCAAAAGUCUGCUUCAAAUAGUGGCAAGUUCUGAUUCAAAAGAAUUCACUGAAUAUUUAUUAUUCUGUAUAGUAUUGUAGUCAGUCCUUACAAUAAUCCUGUGAUUGACAGCAGUCUCCUCCUUCUUGGUACAUAAUACAUUUCUAAAAGUAUUCUUUCCGGGGCGCCUGGGUGGCUCAGUUGGUUAAGCAUCCGACUUCAGCUCAGGUCAUGAACUCAUGGUUUGUGGGUUCGAGCCCCGCGUCGGGCUCUGUGCUGACAGUUCAGAACCUGGAGCCUGCUUCAGAGUCUGUGUCUCCCUCUCUCUCUGACCUCCUGUGCUCCUACUCUGUCUCUGUCUCUCUCUCUGAAAAAUAAAUAAACAUUUUAAAAGAAAUUUUUUAAGAUAUUCUUUCCAAUGGCAAUUUCCCUAAUACUAUCAUAAUUAGGAAAUUUAGACAAGCACUUAAUAUUAUUUUAAAAAUGAAUUUACCAGGGGCGCCUGGGUGGCUCAGUCAGUUGAGCUUCUGACUUCGGCUCAGGUCAUGAUCUCACAGUUCGUGAGUUCGAGCCCCACGUUGGGCUCUGUGCUGACAGCUCAGAGCCUGGAGCCUGCUUCAGAUUCUGUGUCCUCCUCUCUCUCCACCCCACCCCUGCUUGUGCUCUAUCUCUCUCUGUCUUUCAAAAAUGAAUAAACAUAAAAUUUUUUUUAAUAAUAAAAAAAUAAAGAUGAAUUUACCAGGAUUUUGGCAUUUGGUUAAAGUUAGGAACUGAGUCCUUCAAAUGUUACCAUUUCCCAAGGAAAAUGUGUGAUUUCUAAUGAGCCUAUAAGAAUAAAGUUCAUUAUUAUAAACUUUUUUCUUGUCUUUUUCCUCUUUUUCUUUUCUAUAAAAGUCACAAGACAGGUACUCCCUACUUUUAUUUUCAGUGCUUCCUUGGAAACUAUAUGGUCAUAGAGCAGAACAUCAACAUUUCCAUACACAGUUCUGAGGACAGGUGGCGAUGAUCUUUUUCUUCCUGCAGAUGGCACUCUCUGCUGUUCACCUAGCACUGAGCAUUUAAAGAGCUGUAGCGUUUACCAAGAACGUUUCCUGAUGUUAUAUAAUCUUUGAAGAUCCACACAGUAAUUCUGUGGGACAGACAUUUUAUGGAAAAGGAAGCCAAACUUGACACAGCUCCGUGUUGCGGCUAGUACUUGCUAGAUUCCCAAUGUCCUGCCUUUAUUUUCACCACUGUCACAAUGCUGACUGACUAUUCAGAACAGAUUUAGAACUAGGGAAAUAUAACGAGUAAGCAGAUUAGUAAGUAUUUAUUGAAUAAGAAAUAAAUUUUGGUUGAAUUAUGAAUGAAUGAAUGAAUUAGUGAUAGAUUUGACGGUUCUUAGGGAGGAAACUUGGUGACCUAGAGAGCCUUUCUUGUCCUGUUGUUGAGCGUGAGAUUUUAUUUUCAGUGGUAAAUGUCAUGUUAUUGGUAGCACUGACUAAAACAGAAAUGACAAGUUACUAAAAAAUGCCUAAAACUGAAGAAUAUCUGUGGUAAUGACUUGGUGUAGGGGGGAGGUGUAGUAGUUUUAUACUGUAUGUCAAGGAAAUGACUAUGUCAGAAUCCACAAGACUGACGAUGAUGGCUUAAUUCUGUGAUCUUUUGGAUAAUAGGUUGUGGAAAUUAAUCACAGAACCAGAACAGAGCUGAGAUAUCAUAGUCGGCUGUCCAAAUGUCUGUGGCAAGUCUCACUCAGUAAAAGCAGGGCUGCUAUUGACUUACUUUAUUGACCGUUUCAUUUCCAGAAGGUUAAGGAAAUAGUCAGGGGAGCUGAUAACUCCGAGCCUAAUUUUGACCCACAAUGAGGGCUCCUUAGACAGGUGAAAAUAAUGGGACUCCUGGGAGAAAUCCAUGAUGUUCAUUUAAGAAAUUCAACAAAAGGUUGUGCCACAUACUGUGCUAGAUGCUGUCGAUUUUGCAGUAAAUGCAGCAGACAAAAUCCCCGUCACCAAGGAACUUUUAUUGAAGAGCUAACCAUGAUCCAGCCUCAUGGUUACUUAACUGCAGUGACCUUAACUUGCAUUUCAGACACCUACGUGCAGGGUCACACUCUGGCUGGUGUUAUGAUCUGGAACUGCUUGUUUCAGAAAUCUAAAAAUUCCAAAAUUCCUAUAUCCUUAAUUCCCUCAUUUUUUAUUCUUUAAUCUCAUAGACGUGGGUUGCCUAUAUUUCAGCUUGUAUGUCAGCAUCUACCUGGCCUCUUUCUCUUUCCUACCUGGUCUACAGCCCAGUUUUGACUGUAUGGAUUGUUGUCUCACUUGUACUCUUGAUUCCCUUUCCCUUUCCCUUCUGCCACCUCACCCACCCAAACUCCCAUCUCUAUGUCAGCGACACAAUCUGUGUUAUCUACUGUUAGAUCCAAGCAGCUAAGCCCUGCGGGAGAAUCGCAAACAUCUGAGAAAAGUGACACUACCCAGCGUUCAUGGUUUUCAACUUCUGCUGAGCUCUGAGCCCACCAGGAGGUCCUUUUAUUCAUCCUUGGUCACUGCUCUCUCCAUCCUUGUUUUCCUGCUUCUCAUUUUGUAUUUUAUUACCACACUUAACCGUAAUUCUCUCAGGGACUUGACUUGAGCUGCUCUUUCUGUCUGUAAUGCCUUUCUGCCCCCCUUUUCUUUCUCCCUUUACAUGCUCAACUUUUACUGAAAGAUUGUGUCCAUCAUGAAGCUUCCCUGACUACUCAAAUUGGGCUCAGUGUCCCCUCAUCAGUAUACAGUACCUGUGUAUUGGUUCGCCUUUGCCACUAUAAUGGGACCUUCUUAGGCGCAGAGACGGAAUUACUUUCACAUUUUGCAUUCUUAGUGCCUAGCACAGAGUGGGUGUUUUAGUAAAUGGUAGCUAAAUGGAUCAGUAAAAAAAAACAGGAAGAGGAAUAUGGGUCAAAGCUGGAAUUUAGAGAAUUAGAAGUACAUAUCUUUUUUCAAAGAAAAGAUAGAUAAGAUGCCAUGGAUAUAGUCUCCAGAGGGGAAGGUGGUUGUAAGGUGGCCAUAGGCAGAGUUUUUACUGAACCACUGGAGAUAAUGUGAAGAAAAGAGAGGUAAAGUGGCCAGAUGAACUCAUAUUUUAAAAUAAUAUGUGUAGAAGAGGGAAAGAAGGAUACGAAACAAAAAUAUGUAGAUGUAGGUACAGAUCUCACGUACAACAAGAGAAUACAGGGAUGCCGAGGUGGCUCAGUCAGUUAAGUGUCUGACUCUUGAUUUCAGCUCAGGUCAUGAUCUCAGGGUCGUGAGAUUGAGCCCUGCAUUGGGCUUCUUACUGGGCAUGGAGCCUGCUUAGGAUUCUCUCUCUAUGCCCCCCUGCACCUCCCACCCCUUCCNNNNNNNNNNNNNNNNNNNNNCCCCCCCCGCCGAUCACGGACACGUACACGCUUUCUCUGUCUCUCAGAAAAAGGGGCAGCGGUGGAUGGAGUACAACACUAAGAGAAUAAUGAGCUGAGGUUUUGAAAGAGGUUAAGGGUGACCUUUUACAUUUUAUAUGUAGAAGAUGAAAACAGCAAGCAAAUAAUAGAUUUUUUUUCUUUUAAACAGACUGACCCCCAGAGAGUAGCUACACUUGUGGUGAGCACAGCAUAAAGUAUAGAGAUGUUGAAUCACUAUGUUGUAUCCCUGAGACUAAUGUAAUAUUGUGUGUCAGCUAUACACACAAUGUUUUAAAAAGAUUUAAAAAAAUACACAAAAACCCUGACCCUAUAAUUGGAUACAGAGAGUAAAUGAAAAUUCUCAGCUUCUGUUGUGUUUCUGACUUCUUUGAUGAUGAAGAAUGAUCUAUACAUAGACUAGUAAGACUGGAUGUAAGAAUAAUAAUAGGAGAACGUUUAAGCCCAGGAUUAGAGAGGAGAUUGUACCAGAACCGUUGGCUGCUCUAAAUGAGUUCACAUCUCAGGUUCAGAUUCUGAGAAAAUGUGUUAAUGUCAUUGACAAACUGGUAAUCUUUGAGUCAUUGUGGUGAAUUUGAAAACUGUUAGAAGACUGUGGAGGACUAAAGUUCCAAAAUUAUGUAUGUAUGUAUUCGUAUAUAUGUAUAUGCGUACAUAUACAUAUAUGUAUAUACGUAUAUGUAUAUGUAUAUGUAUAUAUAUGUAUGUAUAUGUAUAUGUAUAUGUAUAUAUAUGUAUGUAUAUGUAUAUGUAUAUAUGUGUAUAUAUGUGUAUGUACAUGGAUAUAUAUGUAUAUGUACAUACGUAUAUAUGUGAACAUAAAUACAUGUGUAUAUAUAUAUAUGAACAUAAAUUUCGAUGAGCUUGAUGCUACUUCCGCAGAAGAUUCUAGAGAUCGUUUUAAAAGAUUCUCCAAUAUUUACAAAAGGUAAAGAUGAGCAGUCAGGGUUACAGGGAUUUUCUAAGAAUAAUUCAUUCCAGGUAGCCCAGUUUCCGCUCUUGGCAGGGAUGCCACAUGCACAGGUUAGGAGAUGCUGAGGCUGUGAUAUAUCUAGGCUCCCAAACGGUAUUUGACAUCAUCCAUUCUAUCAUUCCGUGCAUGGGAACGUUUUGGGGAAUUGCACCAUAAUACAGGGCCAGGGAUUGAACACCCGAACUCAGUCUUAGUUACUAAUGGCAGCCUAGGGGGAAGUCUCUUAGGGGUUGCUCUUUUGACCCUGUUCCACUCAUUGGUUAACACCUCCUCCUACUUCUCACUCUCAGCCGGGAACCUCGCAGUUUGUUUCACCAAGGAAACAAAAGCGCCCAAAUCUUGGUCUGUUCCCUGCCAGAGCUGCUGAUCUUCCUGCGUGUACUCACGUACUGUCAUCCUUUUUGUUCCAUUACGUGAACCGUCCUGUUCCUAUCACUUGUGUGCUAGAUACUCUUCAUAUUGCCUACUCACUGCUGCAGCAAUUACCUCCUCUCGUUCUAGCUUUUCAUCUAUUUUCCUUCCCCUGUUGGAGACACAUGCUAUGCAAACAUGCUAUAAUAGUAUCUCAGCUUGCAAACGUGCCAUAAUGUCAUUCAUUAAAAAACAAAUAAAAAGCACCACCUCCCCACCCCAUGUUCCCUUCAAGCUACCACCCAUUUCCUUGCCACCCAAUGGCAGAACUUCCCAAAACAGCUGUCUUAACCCCCUUGCCUCCGUUUCCUCACCACCCUCUGCCACUCCACUGAGACUACUCUUUGACAGGUUUCAGUAACUUCCACGUUGCUAAAUCCUGUGGUCAUUACCCAGUCUUCAUCUUACUCAACCUGUCAGCAAUAUUCGACACAGUUGAUCAGUCUUUCCUGUUUCGAGCUUUCUUUACCUGGUUUCUGGGAGGCACCGCUCUCCUCAUGUUUCUCCUGCCCUACCUGCCGCUCCUUCUCAGGGUCCCGUGCUGGAUCCUGCUCCGCUUCCCGACUUGGGGGUGCUAACCCGUGGGCUGAGCCUUAGAAUCUCUCCUCCGCUUCGUUUAUACUCACUUUCUGUUCCCCACUGAUCAAUAGUGUGGCCACUAGCCACAGUCCCGUCAUUGCAGAAAGUUCUGUUGGACAGCACUGCUCUGGGUUAUUUCAUCCUUCUCGUCCUGUUAAAAUCCUUCCGUAUGCGGGUAACUCCCAAAUUGACUCACCAGUUCCAGCCUCCCCACCUGGAGUCCAGUUUGGUGUAUCCAAAUAUCUACUUGGUUUUCAAGCCGCCUGUCAGAUAUGGCGUAGCGAAAAUAGAACUUUAUGUUCCCUCCCACCCUCCUGUCCUGUUUGUCUUGUCGAUCACUAAACAGUGCUGCUCUUCACACAGCCUUAAAAAGUCUCGUGGACUUUUUGGGGUGGGGGCAGGCGGGAAGGAGACUUCCAUUCUUCAGGAGAAACAGUUCUAGGGGAACACUUCUUUUUCACCUUUCCACACCUUACUUCAGUCCCUGGCAAGUGGGAAUGAGUAGCUUUUCUCCCUCUUUGUAAUAAUUUUUAACUUCUUCUCUUGCACUCAGUAUCCAGUGCAUCAAACAGAAACUAAUCUCGGAGUCCUGGACUGCUUUCCCCAGAUGCUCACAUGACCCAUUGUCUUCCUUCAUUCAGGCUUCAGCUCAGAUAUUACCUCUUUAGCCUUAUCGCUAUGGAAUCUCUGUGACAGUAGCAUUCCUGUUGCUCUGUACCCUUACUCCUUUACUUUUUUGUAACACUUAGCACUGCCUGACGUUACGAUAUGUUUGUUUUCCAUCUGUCUGUAUCUCACUGGAAUCCAUGAGGGCAGGGACUUUGUUUUUGCACUGUUCCUAGUGCCAAAAAUAGGAGCCAGCAGGUUGUAAAUGUUCCAUAAAUAUUUGUUGAAGUAAAUGCCAUAUUAAUGAAAUUUCUGAUGAAAUAAAACUAAGAGGUAUAGCUAAUACAUUGUCAGGUUUUUGCUUUUUGAUUCGGCCAUUCAUGUUUUACAAUUUACCAGUCACUGUAUCAGAAAAAGUGAAACUUACGGGCGUCUAGGUGGCUCAGUUGGUUAAGAGUCCGACUUCGGCUCAAGUCAUGUUCUCAUGGCUCGUGAGUUCAAGCCCCACAUCGGGCUGUCUGCUGUCAGCUCAGAGCCCACUUUGGAUCCUCUGUCUCCCUCUCUCUAUGCCCCUCCCUCUCCCUUCGCCUCAAAAAUAAACAUUAAAAAAAGAAAAAAAAAAAGAAAAGAAGUGAAACAUUGUUUUCCUGAGGUCAUUUGCGUGAUUACAGGUAUUUUGCUAUGCUUUUCAUUUAUUUUAAGAAUAUAAAAGUUCUUAUAAUAUUGUUAGGAGAAAGUUUUAUUUAUUUAGGCAUUAUAAGAAUUGUUGCAUUAGAAGUUGAAUAUGAUAGGGUGCCUGGGUGGCUAAGUCAGGUGAGCAUCCAACUCUUAAUUUCAGCUCAGGUUAUGAUCUCAUGGCUCAUGAGUUCAAGCCCCACAUCGGGCUCUGUGCUGACAGCAUGGAGCCUGCUUGGAAUUCUCUCUCUCCUCUCUCUCUCUGCCCCACCCCUGCUCACUCACUCACUUGCUCUCUGUCUCUCAAAAUAAAUAAAUGAACUUAAAGUUUAAAAAAAGUUGAAUAUGAUACUAAUAACGAUUUUUAAAUUUGAUGUUUUAGCUAUAAAGUACAAAAAGUAGUAAGACAGCGUUCCUGGCCUUAAGGAACUCAUGACCUAGUGGGUAAGACAGUCAUAAGUAACUACAGGGUGUUUAUGUAGUUUGGAAACAGAGGCAAAUACAUAUAAUGCCCUAAGGAUAUCUUCAAUCUAGUUUCCAAGGCUGUAUUUGCAGACUUUAUGGCCCUCCGGUAUAAUACAGGAUGAUAAAGGUCGGAGUGCAGCUGUGUGUGUGAUCGUGGGGGCAGAGGAAGGUGGGGGGCACAACUGACUCUGCCCGCUGAUAGAGUGACAAUCUUGGGUAGAAUGAAACUCUAUGGAUAUCCAAGCUGGGCUGCGUAAAAUAUAGAUAGAGAAGCCAUCCCAGUUUCAAGUAUUAGAGAAGUCCCUCAGCGUGGCCUAGAAGUGUUCCCUGAUAACAGGGAAAAACAGACGGAUCCAGUUGUCUGUCAGCUUCUGCUGGUUUUUGUUUUUUUUUAAUUUUUAAUGCUUAUUUAUUUUUGAGAGAGAGGGAGACAGAGCGUGAGCAGGGGAGGGGCAGAGAGAGAGAGGGAGACACAGAAUCCGAAGCAGGCUUCAGGCUCCGAGCUGUCAGCACAGAGCCCGACGCGGGGCUCGAACCCACGAACUGUGAGAUCGUGACCUGAGCCGAAGUCGGACACUUAACCGACGAGGCCACCCAGGCGCCCCUGUCAGCUUCCACUUCUAAUGGCCAUGCUGAGUUACCUGGAAUCACCAUAGCAUCAUGCAUAACAUCUCUGAUGGCUCCACCUUGUAAGAGUCAAAGCAAUUAAUAAAAUACCAUAUUUAUGCUCACGAUUUGAUCAGUAACUUCCCCUUCUGUAAUUUUAGAGUUCAAAAUAUCGAGAUGAUUUUUAGUAGUUCAGGAUGCAGCAGGAGCAGGUACGGACGGUGUAGUGAGGCUUCACUCCAGGACUGUUUCAGUUGGUCCGGCAGUUGAUGGACUGAUGUCUGGUGCUCAGAGUGGAAGAGUGGGACCGAAAUCUAGCCUGUACUUUGCUAGCUGUGGGGCUGCCGCAGCCUGGGAAAGGGUGUCUUUUCCUACAUCACAUAAAGCCCUGUGUAGUCGAACAGCCAAUCCCAUUGCUGCAGACUUUAUCCUCAGGUGCCUAGAACAAUGUGGUACUGUUUGCCAAGCUGAAGGGAAUUUAAGAAAGUUCUCUAGCUUUGAGCAUCUUGAAAGAGUUAAAGAUCAUUCUGAUUUUAAAACUUGUGAUUCAAAAUAAACGUUCAUGGUUGCCUUGUACCUGUGUUAAGGAAAUAUUUGUUAUGCCUCUGUCUAGUCAAAACUAUAGAGGGAAAACUGGUAACCAAACAGAAGCAUCUUGCGGCUACACCAGGAGUAGAAAUUUAUCCGUUAGUAUUCUAGAAAUAGCCUUCAUGGUAUUGUACACAAAAGAUUAAUUCAUUUUUAAAAAUUCAACAUGGAUAUGAGGUUUAGUGGUAGUUUAUUCAUUAUUUGGUUUUAGUAUUUUUCUGAGUUUUCAUAGAUCCUCAGAUGCCUCUCACUGUCACAGGAGAGUAGCGACUUGGCUCCCCAUGGCACGCAGGUGGUAUGCCACUGCCUCCCUGAUUCCAAUCGAGAUCGACCCUGGCCUGAUUCUCCUUCCUCUGUAGUUAACUGGUGAUUCCUCUGGAGGUUGGAAGGAGUUGGGAGCAGAGGAGGAGUAAGGAGCUGUGGUCAAGUCACCUUGUUCAGAUCAUGUGCUAACACUCCCUGUCUCAAGAUUCCGUUCUUGGAGCUACAGAAACUUUUUAGUGUGUUCUUGAGGUUCAAAAAGUUUGUUGGCUUCCUUUACCUCAAAUAUGAAGACUGGCCAUUGAUUUUUGUGUCAGAGCUUUAUUAAAAUUAUUUGUGUCUUAUUAUUACCAUUAAUAUGGAUGUCUUUCUUUUUAAUAGGUGAAACUUUAUUCUAGGAAUAUUUGUUUCAUCUAGUUCAUGAGCUCAAAUUAUAAGGACUCUAAAUGUUACAGAAGUGUUGAGAGAUUGGUAAGUAUUUAAUGUAAUAGAUAUUAACAGUCAAAAUACUUGUUUCAGUCUAACCCUUUGAAACUACAUAGUUAUGUGACAUUAAUUAAACCCCAAAGUACAAACAACUAAACUUUCUUUUCCUGUAGUAGAGAUGGAUAUACAAAUUGUGGUGUAUUCAUACAAUGGCAUUAUUGCACAACGGUUUAAAGGAACAAAUGUAAUGUUAAGAGGGAAAUGCAAAGUUGUAAAGGAUACAUAUAGUAUACUAUUUAUAUACAUUUUAAAAAUAGCUAAAACAAUAUUGAAUAUUUUAUGGCUAUAAAAACAUGUAUAGAAAUGAUGAACACCAACUGAAGAGAGGAAGAAGUUGGGUGGGGUGUGGCUUUCCUGUACUGUAAGGUUUGAUUUCUUUGAGCAUGCGCACGCGUGCGCACACACACACACACACACAAACUGAUCUGAACAUAGCAUAAUGUUUAAUACAUGAAUACAUGCCAAGUCUGAGUAUUGGCUAUAACCUCAUGUUAUGUAUCCUUUAUACUUUACUGGGUAUUCAAAGUAUUUAAAAAAUCUUUUUAAAAUACCAUGCAAUCAUGUUUUCAGUUGGCAUUCAGAGUGGCUGAAAGGCAUUCAGUGAAAUUCAACAUUCCUAGUAGAUGAGUCAGAAGAAAUGAAUAUUUCUUAAUGUGCAGAGCGAAAGUGUCCUCUGUCACCCCUACCAAUGUUGUUGUGUUAGUGCUAACUAAAGCUGUUAGAUAGAAGAGUGGAAAGCAUGUGAAUGUUGGAUAGAAAGAUUCAGAAUUUUUGUUAUUUGUAAAUGAGAAGGUUUUAUAUCUGGAAAUUUCUAAAAAAAAAAGUUAGUAAGAAGUUUGGGUAUAUGAUUACUAUAUCAAAAUAAAUCUACUUCCUAUUUGCCUCCUAUAAACCAGUUUUCUAUCCUACUUAGAAUGUAUAAUGGAAACAAAAUCCCAUUUAGAAUAGCAGCGAAAACUGCAAAACAUCUAGGAGCAGACCUAACAAGUCAUGUAUAAAACCUAAUACAUGUUUCCAACAAGUUUCCACCACAAGGACAUAGAGAAUAAAUGUGCAAGUAGUGCAAGGAUGUUCAUUGCAGCUCUGUUUAUGAUAGUAAAAAUGAGAAAUAACCUAAAUCUUCAAUGAGAGAUUGGCUGCAUAGUUAAUAGUACAUCUGUAUAAUGAAACACAGGUAAUGUGCACCUGCAGCAGGAUGCCGGGCCGUAAAGAAGGGUGAGAGAGAGCGCAGGUGAACAGAUGUCCAAAGUGAACCAAAACAGAUAGUAGAUCAUUUAUGUNNNNNNNUAAGAUCCUGUGUAUGUAACUGUGUGUUUAUUUUAGGUACAUUUAAAAAUCAGGAAUAACCUACAUUUCCGCAUGGAUUAUAAUGCUUUUGGCUGACCUGGCAUCUUGUGCUUUUAGGAAGUGGGGUUGAAAUUAUUUCUUCACUACUAAAUAUUCGUGUUAUCUUAAUUUCUGGAAAAUAGACCCUAAUUAUUAGCACAAUUUUUAGAUCUUUCACAUUUUUAAUAUUGCUCAAGUUGCAGCGUGCCUUGCACUUCGUGGUGUCUAGGGAGCCCUGUCGGCAGGCUGCCCUCGCGAAGGGGUUGUUCGUGCCUGCUCACGAGUGAACUUGGUCACAGAUGUUCAUAUCAGUACUGCAGCUGAGUUACAUGCACCAUCGGUACGAUAUCUGAUGAGUUUUAAGUGUUUCCGGGUUGUUUUCGGGCACUUUUUGCUGAUCCCAUCUGGUAAGAUCAAGAAAACACCUGCAUCAGAACUCACAGAAUGAUGUCAGCAUCUUUGGAAGAAAAUCCCAGGAGCAGUGGGAGAUGGUGCGUCUCAUAGGAGAUGGUGCGUCUCAUAGGGUGGAUGGUCUAGAUGGCCCAGAAGGGGCUAUUGUAUGGAAAAUUCUAAGUGAUAAGAAGGCAGUGUGUUACACUUUAACUGGCAGUCUUAUUUCUGUUUUAGUGGAACACUAAAAUUAUUUCUCUUAUGUAAGUAAUUAUGUACCUUAAAAUCAGUGACAGAUUAGGUGAAAUAAGUUAAUAAAAUUGGAUAACUAUGGACUGAAUAUGAACUAGUUUAUAUUAUUAUAUACAUAUAUAUAAUUAGUACAUGUUAUUAUAAAUUAUUAUAAACUAUUUGAUGUAUGGAAUAAUUUUUACCUUAUGAAAGCUUAUAGAGAACCAGCAUUUAUGUAAGAGAAAUUAUUGCUGCAAUUUUGGAUAAAUGAGUAAUGUACAUUUUUUUUUAUACUUUUUCCUAGUGAUCAAUAAUAUUAAAAGCAAUGAUCUUUGUUACACUAAAGAAAGGAUUGCUUUGUAAUAAUACCUAGGAUCCUGAUAGGAAUCCAGGAAUUAAGUCGAUCAGGCCCAAGACUGAACAGGAACCAAAGUAGUAUUAGGAAUUUCUUUGGUUUCUCCCUUUUGUGUUUAUCUGCUUCUCUUUGCAUCCUGGUGGUUCAUUUUCGCCCAUUUGGCUUCUUCUGAGCCUCAACCACCUCCUGAUAACCACCACGGGCCCAUAUUUAUGUGACUUUUCAGCACAUCAGCUAUGCCCUUUAAUUCAAAUUCCCAUGAGAAAGAAAGAAAGCCUGAUUAGCUCAAUGCCUCUUUGCAAGCUGCAUUGAACAAGUCACAUCUUGCAGCCAGAUGUUCAUCGGCUGCCCCGUGAAUCAGGUGUGCUUCGGUUGAUUAGUGCUCAGAUGCCAGCCUUGUCCCUUGGCAGUAGGCAUGGUCAUAUGGUCCACUGCCUUCUCAGCAGGGGCUCUGAGGCAGGUUCCUGCCAACGCCCAUGGGUGAAGGAAGACUCCACAACAUGCAUCUUAUUUAAUUUAACCUCUUCAGGUUAAAAAGUUUUUAAAGGUUACUGGCUGUUUCAAAAGUACCUUUAGCCCUAAGAUGAAACUGUUCUGAAGUUCUUUGGAGAUUUUAUUGUUCAUGAUUUUUCCUUUCUAAAUAGUUGCACAUUUUGGGGCGCCUGGGUGGCUCAGUUGGUUAAGCGACUGACAUCAGCUCAGGUCACGAUCUCAUGGUUUGUGUGUUUGAGACCCACGUCGGGCUCUGGGCUGACAGCUCAAAGCCUGGAGCCUGCUUUGGAAUCUGUGUCCUUUUUUCUCUCUGUCCCUCCCCCACUUGCUCUUUCUCUCUCAAAAAUAAAUAAAGAUUUAAAAAAAUAUUUUAAAUAGUUAUACGUUUUUCUUUAUAUUGGUGUUUCUCCUCUCUUUUGUCUGCUUUACCUUAUUUUCCUUCAUCUUAAAAUGUCACGUUGCCCUUUAUUUGAUUUUAAUGUGUAGUAGGAAGCAAAGUGGCAUAACUUAAGCUGCUAGAAUUGUUCAAUUUUUAUUUACCUGGUGGUAAAUCCUUUUUCUUUCCAUUAACUGAACUCUGGUGUUUGCAGCGGGGGGCAUCACUGAUUGUCAGCUCCAUCACAUGAAAAAUAGUUUAUAGUUUUUAAAAGGUCCAUUCAUAUUUUUAAACCAUGUAAAGCAAGAAUGUUUUAUGAGUGUAUUUUUAUUCUACGAUGCGGCUCUUGAAGAAGGUGGGGAUCUACCUUAACUGCCACCAGUCACUAGUGCAUCUUCCGUGGUGCUUUCACUUCCCGUUCUUGGUUGUGCUCAGCCAUUUCCAUACCUGGGACUAAUUUCUGCCAUGCAAGAAUAUUUAAGGAGCCCUGGCUAGAUAAGAUCUGUGUCUGAAAAUAUUAUAGGGUUAAGUACCAAUGCCCGAUAAUUUAAAGCCAGGCUUUAGUUAAAAACAAACAGCCUUAAAAACGCGUGGUUUUAAACGUAAAUUUUUAUUUCUCUAAUCUUCUUUUUUGUAAUAUUUAUCUUAUAGCUCGGUCAUGAGCACCGACAGUAACUCACUGGCACGUGAAUUUCUGACGGAUGUCAACCGGCUUUGCAAUGCAGUGGUCCAGAGGGUGGAGGCCAGGGAGGAAGAGGAAGAGGAGACACAUAUGGCAACCCUUGGACAUUACCUUGUCCACGGCCGAGGAUUUCUGUUACUCACCAAGCUAAAUUCUGUCAUCGAUCAGGUAAAAUUUCGUAUCAAAUAAUUUUUUUCCUCAGUAUAUCAUAGUUAAUUACAGAUACAUGAUUUCUGAGUUACAUAGUUUGUGAGAGUCUCUUUGAGAUAAAGUCCUAUCUCUCACAUCGCUCCCAACAAAGAAAAGCAGCCUCAUUUAUGAACAUACUAUUUAUUUGGAUACUUUCCAAAAUGUCAGAAGUGUCUUAGGUUAUAAAUGGCCUUAGGAUUCUAAGAUGGCCUCAUCCAUAUUAUGCUUUUUGUCCUAAUAUCAGUGUGAGAUAACUAUGAUUAUUACUAAGGAUAUAAGAGUACGAUUCAGAAACAUUAUGAAUUCGCACUUUCAAUAAAUGUCAGAUAUAUUUUUUGAAAAAUUUAGUGUAAAUUAUAUUUAGGGAGCUUACUAAUUCUGGGGUAAAAGUAGAGAAUGCUUUGUGUAUGUCUAGUUUUUUGUACCUCAUUGUGUUUGCUUAAAGUAUGGUCUGAACAUAUAGCAUUUUAUUGUUUCCUUAUUAUAGAAUUAAUGGAACUUUAAAGCUAGUUGGCAGAUGGAGGUGUCAUCCAAUGUUUUUUUUUUUUUAAGGUUUAUUCAUUUUUCAGAGACAGAGAGCGUGAGGGGGGAGGGGCAGGAGAGAGGGAGACACAGAAUCGGAAGCAGGCUCCAGGCUCUGAGCUGUCAGCACAGAGCCGGACGCGGGGCUCAAACCCACAAAUCAUGAGAUCAUGACCUGAGCUGAAGUCAGACACUUAGCCGACUGAGCCACCCAGACACCCCAAUCUUCUUUUAUAGAUGAAAAACUCAGGUGCAGAAACAUUAAGUAACUCAGACAGGGUUAACUUGAAGCCCAAAUGUGAUUUAUAUCUUUGCUUUGUUUUAGUAGAAAAUAAAUAUGUAUUUUAUGAAAGAAAAAUUUCACUAUCUGCUUUCAGGAGACUAAUUUAUGUGGUUAAAUAAUAUUUCAGUUAACUUGAAAAGGCCCCUAUAGCACCAAUAUGACAGACAUUUUUUUUUUAAUUUUUUUUAACAUUUAUUUAUUUUUGAGACAGAGAGAGAGCAUGAACAGGGGAGGGUCAGAGAAAGAGGGAGACACAGAAUCCGAAACAAGCUCCAGGCUCUGAGCCGUCAGCACAGAGCCCGACGCGGGGCUUGAACCCAUGGACCGUGAGAUCAUGACCUGAGCUGAAGUCGGACGCUUAACCGACUGAGCCACCCAGGCACCCCAUGACAGACAUUUUUAAACACUGAUAUAUGUUACUGGUUUCAGAUAUAAACUUAACCAUUGUUAAAAUUUCUUUGCUAUGAAGGCAUUUUGCUAAUACAUAUAUUGGGUAAAGACAGAGACUAAAAUUAAACAAUGCCUCUGUUCUCACAAUAAGCUAAGGAGCCUAACAUAUAUAUCAGGAAGUAUUUGUUCACUGUGGUGUCCACCUGUCAUGAAAUUUUCCAGAGUAUUUUUAGGUUUAUAUAUUUUUAUUCCUUUUCAUGAAAUUUAUUUAUUAAUUAUGUAACUACAUAUAAUUUAAUUUUUGUAUUUUGUAUGAUUUUUUUCAAAAAUGAAACUUAAAGUUAGAAAAAAUUAUUUGUUAGAUCAUGUGUAAUGAUUUUUAUUUCAAAAUUUUGGUGAUAUAAUAAGCAUAUCAUGCUCUGUUCAUUUUCUUACCCCACAUUAGAACAAUUCAGUGCUUUCUCUUUUUUUUUUAAAGAUACAUAAAUAGUAUCAGAAAUAUCAAAUACUCAGGAAUAAAUCUAAUAAAAUAUGCACAGAUUUCUACACAGAAUUCUAUAAAACAUUAUUGAGGGAAACUGAAGAAGACCCAAAUAAAUGUAGGACUAUGUAAUUUUCACGUAUUGGAAAAGUCAAUAGUGUAAGGAUACUUUUUAUUUCCAAAUUGAUGUAUAGAUUCCACAAUGUAAUCCCAAUCAAAAUUUCAGGAGGUUUUUAAUGAAAGCUGUAUUAAGAUAUAAUCCAUAUAUCCUAGAAUUCACCCAUUUCAUGUGUACAACUCAGUGGUUUUUAGCAUAAUCACAGAUACGUGCAACCGUCACCAUAGUCAAUUUUAGAACAUUUCAUCACCUCGAACAGGGACCUGGUUCCUUUUAGCUGUCACUCCCUUAUCCUUCCCAUCCCCCUCAGCCCUAAGCAAACACUAAUCUACUUUCUCUUUCUAUAGUUAUAUGCUUUCUCUUUUAAGUCAUGAAAUACCUUUUAAUGUAUUAUUAAAUGACUGAAAUCAUUCAAGUCAUAAUUUCAACAAUAUUUUUUCCUAGGGUAAUAUCUUAUGUUCCCUUUUCCCCAGUCAUUCACUUUUGGAAUUAUUUAGAACAAUGGAAGUAGGAACAGUAGAAGUAGAAGUAGGGAGCAAAUAAAUAGCCAUUUAAAAAAUAGGGCUUUUUAGGGCACCUGAGUGGCCCAGUCGGUUAAGCAUCCAACUUCGGCUCAGGUCAUGAUCUCACAGUUGGUGGAUUCAAACCCCAAGUCAGGCUCCGUGCUGACAGCUCAGAGCCUGGAGCCUGCUUUGGAUUCUGUGUCUCCGUCACUCUCUGACCACCCCCCACUCACACUCUGUCUCUCUGUCUCCCAAAAACAAAUAAACAUUAAAAAAAAUAAUUAAAAAGGGCAUCUGGGUGGCUCAGUUGGUUAAGAAUCUGACUUCAGCUCAGGUCAUGAUCUCAUGGUCCAUGAGUUCAAGCCCCAUGUCGGGCUCUGUGCUGACAGCUUAGAGCCUGGAGCCUGUUUCAGAUUCUGUGUCUCCCUCUCUCUACCUGUCCCCCGCUUGCACUCUGUCUCUUUCUCUCGAAAAUAAACAUUGGGGCACCUAGGUGGCUCAGUCGGUUAAGUGUCUGACUUCAGCUCAGGUCAUGAUCUCACAGUUCAUGGGUUCGAGCCCCACAUCGGGCUCUGUGCUGACAGCUUGGAGCCUGGAGCUUGCUUUGGAUUCUAUGUCUUCCUCUCUCUCUGCUCCUCCCCCGUUCAUGGCUCUGUCUCUCUGUCUUCGACAAAAAUAAAUAAAAACAUUUAAAAAUAAAUAAAUAAUAAAUAAACGUUAAAAAUUUUUUUUAAUUUAAAAAUAAAGAUAAAUUAAAAAUAGGGCUUAUUAACACUUAAUUAUUUAAACCAGGAAAUGGAGAAUGAUCAUUUGAAUCUUUAAGGGGAAUUUAAUUGUACAAGUUUAAUCAUUUCACAUGGAAUCAAAACACUAGAUUCAAAGCUGUGCAUUUCAGUAGGAACUUCAGCUUUUCUGUGUGUGCUUGUCACAAAGGAGCACUUCCUGGGUGCUCUGGGGAGAGACAAUUUAAGCCCUUACCUUCCACCUUUGUGCCAGGACUUUAUUAAUAGAUAUUUAGUAUAAAGAAUUAAACAGACUUUUUAUUACCGUAUAAUUUACAUGUCAAGAACAUACAGAUGUAAAGUGUACACAGUUGGGUGAUACCUGUGUAACCACGGCCUAGGUCAAAGUCUAGAACGUUUCCACCACUCUAGAAAAAGCUUUUCAUGCCCUUUUCAGGCAGCCCUUCCCCUUCUCCCACUCCAGUGUAACCACAGUUGUAGUGUCUAACAUCUCAGUGUGGUUUUGCUGUUCUAGAAUUUCACAUAAAUGGAAUCAUGCAGCAUGUACUCUCACGUCUCGGAUCUUCACCUGUUGUGCAUGAAUCAGUAAUCCACUGUUUUGUUUCUCAUUGGUGUUCUGUUGUGUGGAUGUACCACCAUUCGGCCAUCUGCCUGUCGUUUAACCACUUGGCUUUCGUUUCCAUUUGGCUAAUACAAAUAAAGGCGCUGUGAACAUCCUUAAAAAAGCCCUUGUGUGAAUAUAUUUUCAUUUUUCCAGGGUAAAUAUCUAGGCAUGCAACUGCUGUGUCGAAGGGUAGGUGUUUAACGUCAUAAGAAAGUGUCAGACUGUUUUUUCAAAGUGUUUGUACCACUUUUCAUUCUCACCAGCGAGGUAUGCGAAUUCCAGUUCCGUAUCUUCUCUGAUAUUUGGCGUUGCCAAUCUGUUUAAUACUAGUCAUCCUAUGUGAACAUGAACUAGUAUCCCACUGUGAUUUUAAUUUGCAUUUCUGUGAAAACUAAUGAUGCUGAGUGCUAUUUUAUGUGUUCACUGGCUGUUUGUAUGACUUCUGUCAAAUGUUUGUUUAAGUUUUGUGCCCAUUUUAAAAGUCAGGUUAUUUGUUUGGUAUCCAGUUGCAGGGGGUUUUGUUUGUUUGUUUGUUUUUAGUGUAUUCUGGAUACAAGUCUUUGUUGGGUUACAAAUAUGUUCUUUGUGGCUUGCCUUUUCAUUUCUUAACAAUGCCUUUAGAACAGCAGGGGUUUUUGUGUGAGUAGCAUGUUUUGUAUUCUAAGAAAUCCUUAUCUUGCAUCCCAAAGUCACAAAGAUAAUUGUUUUUUUUUUUUUCCCUAGAAUCUUUUUAAUUAGUAUUUUUAUUUUGAGGUCUGUGAUCCACGUUAGUUACCCAGUUAUUCCAGCAACAUUUCUUCUUAAGAGUCUGCUCUUUCCCCCAGUGGCCUUGGUACCUAUGUGAAAAAUCAGUUAACCAUUUAUGUGGAGUUCAUUUCUAGACUCUUCUGUUCCAUUUAUCUGUCAUCUGUUCUUUCACUGAUACCGUACUGUUUGGGUUACUGUGGCCAUUACAGUAUAUCUAGAAAUUAGGUUGUACAAGUUCUUCAAUGUGGUCUUCAUUUUCAAGAAUGUUUGACUCUUCUAGGUCCUUUGCGUUUCCAUAUACAUUUUAGAAGCAGCUUAUUCUGCAGAAAUGCUUGGUAGGAUUUCAGCUGUGAUUGCAUUGAAUCGAGAAACCAGUUUGGAGAGAAUCGACAAUGUUGAGUUUCUCAGUCUAUCAGCAUGGUGUAAAUAUAUGUUUAUUUGAGUCUUUCUAAUUGCCCUGCAAUAUUUUUUGGUUUUUGGUAUGGAAGUCUCGCAUAUUUUUUUGGUAAAUUUUUCUGAAUAUUAUUUUUUGAUAUUAUUGUAGUUUGCGUUUAAUUUUUUUUAUUUUCUGUCAUUUGUUGCUCAUAGAAAUGUAAUUGAUUUUUGUACAUUGACCUUGUGCCCUGUGCCUUUGCUAAACUCACUUAUUUAUGUUUAUUUUGAAAGUUUUCUGUAGAGUCCCUAGGGUUUUCUAUGUACACAAUCAUAUCAUCUGUAAAUGAUAGUAAUUUCACUUAUUUUCCAAUUUGUAUACCUUUUAUUUCAUUUUCUUGUCUCUUGCACUGGCUUCUAGUACAAAGGUAGGUGGCAGUGAUGAGAGUGGACAUCCUGCCUUAUGUCUGACCUUAGAGAGAAAACAUUCAGUGUUUCCACUAAACAUGAUAUUAGCUCUAGGUUUUUCUUAGAUGCCUUUUAUCAGAAAGAGGGAGUUCUCGUCUAUUCCCAGUCUGUUAGAGCUUUUAUCCUGAAUGGAUAUUGGGUUUUGUCAAUGCCUUUUCUGAAUCUGUUGAGACCAUCAUAUUAUUUUCUUUUAAUUCCGUUAAUGUGGGUGAAUUACACUGAUGGUUUCUAAAUGUUGAAACCAUCAUUUUCAUUCCUGGGAUAAACCCCAUUUGGUCGUGAUCUGUUAUACACAGACACGUUAAUCUGUUUAUUCUUUGGGGGAAAGCAUAGUCUGCGUACGUAGCAAAAAUAUAUUCUUUUCAAUGGUUAAAGAUGGCAUAGUUGAAGUUUAUAUGCAGAUAUUUAUAAGUUUUUUGAAAGAAAAUUUGUCCAGCCCAAAAAGGAAGGGUUAUCAUAGAUUUUUAACCUUGGCUCUAGUGUUAAUGAGAUGGGUGGCCUCUUCAGAUCUCCAUACCCUUAUCAGUAACAUAAAUACUUCAAGUUGGGUGACUUAAAAGAUCCCUUCCAACAAAAUUGCUACGUGUUUUCAUAUAACAUUGAUAAUAAUGGUUUCUGAUUUCUUCUAUACCCUGGUUAUAAAUAUAAGUAGCUUAAUUCUGGUGUAAUGAAUAGAAAAUUACAAUGACUUAUUACCAACACAAGUGUAUAAAUACUACUUUUUAAAACUCCAAUAUAUAAAUACAUAAUUUCCAUAUAUGUUCACACUUUAUGAAUGUUCUAUAAAGUUUUUACUUAUUUUGCUGAGUAAAAUAUGAAGUUUUAUUGGAGGAGGUUAUACAUUUAUGAAUAAAGCACUAUUUAAAAAUGAUAAUAGGUUUGGAGUGCCUGGGUGGCUCAGUUGGUUAAGCGUCUGACUUUUGGUUUGGGCUCAGGUCAUGAGCUCACAGUUCAUGAGAUCAAGCCCCAUGUGGGGCUCUGCACUGAUGGAGCAGAGCCUUCUUGGGAUUCUCUCUCUCUCCUUCUCUUUCUUUCUCUCCCUCUCUUUCUGCCUCUCUUCCACUUGCACGCGUGUACUCUCUUUCUCAAAAUAAAUAAACCUAUAAAAGGGGUGCCUCGGUGGUUUAGCUGGUUAAGUGACUGAGGUCAUGAUCUCACCGUUCGUGAGUUCGAGGCCUGUGUCGGGCUCUGUGCAGACAGCACAUAUUUGAAUACAUAUUUUUAAAAAUAUUAAAAAAAAUAAACCCAAAAAGAAUUGUAAUAGGUUUCUUUAAUCUUCAGCUGUUUUCUUUGUAAGAGUACUUUUUUCUUCCUAAUUUUUUUGUAGUAUUAUCACUUUAAUACAUAGUACUACAUACAUGGUUUAUCAUUGGAAUAUAUAAAAUAAGUAUUAUAAAGACACAUCAGACCUUUAGAAAUAUGGCUACAUAAUUUGUUCACGGGUUUAUUCAGCAGACCAUUAAGUACCUAGUAAAUGCCAGCACCUCUGCUAGAUGUAGAGAUAAAAGAAGAGAGAUGGUCUGUACCAGCACCUCUAACCUUUUUUUUUUUUUUUAACUGAAGAGGCUGUUUUAUUUUAUUUUAGUUUUUUUUUUUUUUACAUUUAUUUAUUUUUGAUAGAGAGACACAGAGCACAAGCGGGGGAGGGGCAGAGAAUCCGAAGCAGGCUCCGGGCUCCAAGCCAUCAGCACAGAGCCCAACGCAGGGCUCAAACUCACUGCGAGAUCAUGACCUGACCUGAAGUCAGACACCCAACCGACUGAGCCACCCAGGUGCCCCACCAGGACCUCUUAGCCGUUGAAGAGAUGGACAAGUUGAAAAAAAAGCAGUGAUGACAAAACAGUGUGGAAAUAUUUGGGGAGUGCAGAGGAGCGGGUCGCGAGGAAAUGCUUCUUAGAAAUUGGUACCUCAAAGUAGGGGUUGGCCAUUUAAAGAGGGAGGAAGCAUGAGGCCAGAGAAACUGCACAUGUAGACCCCGGUGGCUAGAGGAGAAAGAACAAAUUCAGUGACCUAGCAGUCAUUUAGAGGAGUUAGAGCAAAGGCUGUGUGUGUGGUGUUGGCUACUGAAGACACUGGAAGGCAGGGGCCACGUGAUGGCAAGCCUUGUGUACCACAUCAAGGAGACUUUAGUUUAUUCUGAAAAUACUGGGGAGGUUUUUCAACAAGAAAAUAGGCAAUGAAAAUUAUUCUUCAAGUUUGACAAGUAAGUCUUUGGUAAUAUUUAUUAGCAAGAGUUAUUUCAGUAGGAAAAUAAGGCAAACUUUUAAAGUUAGUAAAGGUGAUAAUAGUAAGUCAACUUUAGUUUGCUGCAUCUAGGUCUACAGAUUCUGUUUACACACAUGUCAAGAUUUAUCCAUGCAUGAUUAGUCCAGCAUUAAUGAGGGCAUAGUGGGGUGCUGAUAUGCCUGCUUCUUGGAGUAGUGAAAGUAUCAGCUUAGCCACCAGACAGUGGUGCUAGCCACAGAGAGUAGGUAAUCCAUUGAGUUAUCUCCCUUUACACCCAGGCUAAUAGAUAGGAGCAAUGACUGUGUCAAUUGAUUACUGUGUAACAAACCACAUUCCAAAGACUUAGUGGCAUAAAACACCAUUGAUUUGCUUGUGUUUCUGUGAGUUGGAAGUUCAGGUAGGCUCAAACGGGACCACCGCCUUGGCUUCUUGCGGUGUCGUCUGGGCUCAUCUCUGAAUGUGCGGUCUGUCGGCAGAAGACUAAGGGUUUUUGGAUGGGGCUGCUGGCCCGGCUGCCUCAGUUCUCAUCCACACGGCUUCUCACGUUUCAGUGGGAGAGACUCAGCUUCUUGACAUGGUUGUGCCAACAUUCCAAGAGGGUGAGAAGAGAAGCUGUGGGACGUCACAUAACAUCACUCCUGCCACGUUCUCUUGGUCAAAGCAAGGCCCAGGGCCAGCCCAGAAUUAAGGGAUGGGAACAUAGACUCCAUCAUUUCAGAAGGUUGUCUGUGGCCACACUUUAUCUACCAUAGCCCCUUCUCUGGCCACGUUUGUUAGCAUUCCUCCCACAUUCCGUCUCUCACAGGACUCUCAAAGUCUCGUCCCAUCAUGGCGUCAGGCUUGAAGUUCAUGAUCUCAUGAUACAGGUCAGUUCUGGAUGCAGAUGAGGCUUCCAGGUGCAGCACUUCAGUUACCUGUGAACAUAAGAGCCACGCUCAGCCAUCCACAAUGAUGAGGAGGGACACGUUAACCACACUAGAUGCUUGCAUUCGAAAAGGAGAGUGACCAGAGGCACGUAGCGGUCACUGCCCCCCUGAACUCCUGUCAGGUGUGUGUUGUCAAUGCCCCCUAUUCUUGGGACAGGGAAUGGUUCUGCCCUACUCCAUGAUUCUCCAGGACCCUUGGCUCCCUCCUCUGGGGUUUCUUCUCUUUCCCGUAAGACAUAGCUUAUCAUGUGCAGCUUUCUUACCCUGCUUCAUGCAUGGAGAAAAGUGGCUGUUGGUAUUUUUCAACAAUACAGCUUUCUUGAAAAAUGUAACGGGUCUCCUCUGAAUUUUAAUGGUGUUCACUACAUUCCCCAAAAGCCGCAUCUAUAACUGUUUUUGAGACAGACCUCUCUACUUUGGGCACAUAAAGCUUAUAUGGAAUAAUCCUCGCAGGAUUCCGAGUAGGACUUUUGUCUAGCUGAUGACAUUUACGAGGUACCACCCAAAGUCUUUCUGGAGUCUUAGCAAAGAGUAAUACAGCCAUUUUAUCACCAUUCUUUGCUGUCAGGGAAAGAGGAGCGACACCAGGCACUGGCUGGGCAAACUGUGGCCUGCAGUCCAAAAUCCUGCCACCAGUGAUCUGUUUUUGGACAGCCCACAAGCUAAGAAUAGUUGUGAAUUUUUAAAGAGUUAUUAAAGGAAACAGAAGAAUAUGCAAUAGAGACCAUUUAGGACUCAAAAAGCCUAAGAUGUUUACCAUCUGGUCCUUUAAAAAAAAAAAAGUGUGGCACCCAUUAUAAUUCAAGAAAAACUAUCACCAUAAUGUUUGACAUCCAUGAGAAAAAGCAGCGUGUUUAGCUUCCUGAGACAUCAAAAGCAUUUGGCAAAAUUAAUCCAUUUUUCUUAACAAAAACUCAAAAAAUAGAUUCAGAGGGUGCCAUAUGCAAAGGGUAGAAAAACCAGUAAUAUUUUUAGGAAAAAGCUCCACAAUAGAAUCAGUAGAAGAAUAAUUCUUUAUGGUUAUUUCUGUUUGAUAUCAUGUUUUAAAAACAUACAGUACUGGGGCGCCUGGGUGGCUCAGUCGGUUAAGCGUCCAACUUCAGCUCAGGUCAUGAUCUCACGGUUUGUGGGUCUGAGCCCCGCUCUGGGCUCUGUGCUGACAGCUCGGAGCCUGGAGCCUGCUUCGGAUUCUGUGUCUCCCUCUCUCUCUGCCCCUCCCCCACUUGUGCUCUCUCUCUCUCUGUCUCUCAAAAAUAAAUAAAUGUAAAAAAAAAAAAUUAAAAAACAUGCAGUGGUGAAGUGGAAUAUGAAAGUAAUGACAACUCAAUGUGAGAAAGAUGGAGUAACAAAAAUGCCAUUCUUAAAAGCAAUACGUACAGAAAACUCCAGAAGAUCACUGUUUCCUUUAGCUAUAGCUAUACAGCUAGAAAAUAAAAGAAAAAAGAUGCUGUUUACAGUACUAAUAGAGUCAUGUUCUUAUAUAUGUAUGUGUACACGUAUAUAUUAGAAAUUAUUAUAACACUCUGGCAGAAGGAAUAAAGGACUUAACAUAUAUUUCUGCUCAUGUCUGGAAUAUUCAAUUUAAUUAGCAUGUCGAAGUGCUGAUUUAAAGUAAUACCAUUAAUACCAAUUAAAAUGACUCCAGUAGUCUUCCGUCACGUUCUGAAUGCAAUUCAAGCUCUAAGCUUAGCCUGUCAUCCUGGGGUCCUCGAACCCCAUGAUCUGGUACCCACCUGCCUUUGCGACUUGCUGGACAUCCAUCUGGCUUCCCAUCUCAGCCCUUCCCCUGGCUCAUUUGCCCUUUCUCUCCCAUCCUGCCACCAUUACUUCUAGACGACUAGGGUAGGCAAUUAAUAUUCCAGUCUAAACCCUUGAAUUGUAAAAGGAACAGCCUGACACCUGGUAGGUACUUAAAAUAUAUUUCUUGAAUUGAACUAAAAAUGUACCACCUGCAUGAGAGUGCUUUUCCUGUUUAUUAUUGGUAUACACUUUAAAAAGACAUGUUGCAGUCAUUUUCCCUGCAGAAGGAGAAACAUAAAAAUGUAAGUAUUAUAUGAGAAGAGGUGUGAUUUCUAUAGACCGGACAGUCCAGGAAUAGCCAGGCAAUGGAUCUGUUUAUAGCAUGUAUUGCCUAAAUUGCCUAAUAGGCCAUGUUGAGAACUCUCCACUUGGUUGACGUGAGGUAACACCCCAUUCUUCUGGACACUGUGACUAAUUAGGACCUUGGGAGAGGAAACCAGAGCUUGGUUUGCCCUAGUUUGCCAGGAUGCCUGCAAAAUAAGAGAAAACGAUUUUAUGACUUGCAGAAGGAUGGAAUUAGAUGUGUGGUUUCUUUGGAAUUCGAAAGGAUAAGUAAAUCUGGAAAUAUGCAAUACCUAGGAAAGUAAGAGGUCCAGAGGAUUACCGAGAGCUUCCCCAGUGAUGAAUUGUGUUAGAAAUUAUUGUGAUUGAAUGAAGUCAAGAAUUGUUCAGUCACUGUUCUAUUUAUUGGGUCACGGAGAGGCGAGGGGUGUUCUCCUCAGAAUGCACUUCCAGCAGAGAUGGCAAAAACCAAAAACCUGCACUUGCCACAACCCCAUUCUUUUGAAGGGCCCAUGGUUUCCAAGAACUAAUCCACUUGGUGAAAUGGGGAUACAGGCAUGCAGUCCAGAGGGGGAACAGUAAACUUGGGUUGGUGCGGAACAAAAAGCAUCACAGAAGAGGUUUAGCUGGGGCUGGGCCUUGAAGGUAGUGAGGGACCCCUUAGCUAAGUGGGAGGAAGUCACAGAAGUUCCAGACAAUGUGUCAUACCGAGGUCAGGAGGCAGGAAUGCCUGUUCACGUAGCGAUGAGGAUUUGCCAGUGUCCUGUCCUGUCCUGGAGCAAGGGAUGUGGCACUUCACACACUCGUAAGGUUUCUGCAAGCUCUAUUAGAAUGUUACUAGUUCAUCUGCUAAAGAGAAAGACUCAGAUUAGGAGGACUCUACAGGAACGAUGUGCCCAAAAUGGGUUUACAUUUUUUUAAAGACCAUAUUACACAUAGAUAACUCCAAACUCCUUCACAUGGCCCACAGGCCACAUUGGAUCUGGCACUCUCCACCUUGCCAACCUGUGCCCUCCAGCCAUCCUGGCCCGCUUGCUGUGCUGUGAAAUAGCCGAGCUCAUUCCCUACCCUUUGUAUACUUCCGAGAGCCCUUUUCCUCCAAAUCUUUGCGUGGAUUCCUUCUUCUGUUCAUUUAAGUAUCUACUCAAGUGGCCCGUCACUCUAUAAUCCCUGUCCUGUUAAUUUUCUUCGUAGCACUGCGUUCUGUCUGGAGGUUUCUUAUUUGUGCCCAUUAUUUUCCAUCUCCUCUGCACGAGCAUCAGCUUCGUGAGAAAGUGAAUAUUGUCUUCUUUGUUCACCACUCCAUCCAAAGCGUCUGGCCCAUGGUAGGGGCUCAGUAAAUAUUUCCUGAUUGAAUAAUAGAGACAUUUGGACAUGAACAGUUCAGCAAGUUGACUGCUGUAUGAGAAGUAAAUCAGGAACCUGAAAUGUAGCUUUCCUGGGGAGGGGAUUAGAGAAGGCUUUCCACAGAGGGACUAAAGACCUGCCUGAAGAAUGAGUUAGCGUUUGGCCGAUGGGAGGACGGUAGUGGACAGCUGCAAAAAAAGCAGUGCGCGUGAGGCAGGUGUAUUGGGGAGGGCAGACCAGUAGUGUUCAGGAAACCCUUCGUAGCUGGACAUGUGGGGUUGGGUCAGGUGUGGUGGCAGGAGCUGACACACUGGACAAGUCAGUAGGAAUCAUGUCACGAAGGGUCUUCUAGGCCUGAAAAGAAAUUCGGAUUUUCCCUUUGAAGUAUUUCUGAGCCUUUCCAUAACCAGGGCACUAGAAGGAACAGUCUGAAUGCUGCGCCUCUGCUCUUCUCAUUCCUUUCAACUCUCAGCCUGUGGCAUCUAACUUGCACCCUUAUCACUGCAUUAAUGCCGCCUUUGCUGAGGUCCCUGGUGACCCUCUACUUGAUAAAUGCUUUUCUGCCAUCAUUUUAUACAACUAAAGAACAACAGCUCUUGACCUGGUUUCCUCUCUUCUCUCCUGAACUGCUCUCUUCCUUUGAUUUCUCUUGUUCUACAUUUCUUUGGGGGUGCUACUUCUCAGUCUCCUUUACAGACUUCUUUCUCUCCAGCACCUUCUUCAUUCUUGAAAUGGUGAGUGUUCCAAAGCCAUCCGUCCACUCUUGUCAUUCUUCAUGCUCUCCUUAGGAAAUCUCCUGUGCCCUUGACUUCUGCUGCAGGGACUCCCAAAAGACUUGGGAGUUGUGUACUUCGCAUCUUUUUCUUAAGCUCCAGAUCUAUCUAUCCAGUAGUCACCUUGUUGCCUAAACCAGAAUUCUCCAAGUUCUUUCAGAUUUUUCUUUUCUCCCCCCUUCCACCUCAUAGAUAAUCAACUGUAAGUUAUUUCAGUUCUUCUUUGCAAUUUCUCAAUUCUGUCUCCUUUUCAGAUUUACUGUUAGCACUUCUGUUUAUCAGUAUCUCUUAUCCAGAUUAUUGUUUUCCUUGCUUCUAAACACUGAUCAAUCAAUCCCUCUCCCUCCCGCCCCAAUUCUGUCCUCUAUACAGUGGCUAGAGUGGUCUUUCUAAGAAGCAAAUCCGAUUAUAUUACUGUGACUCCCUGCCCACUGACUAAAGUGAGGAAUCUGAACUUCAUUUGUCAAUUCCUUUACUGCCCAUGACGUCAGUGUCCAGACUGGCUCUCUGCUUCCAGUCCCACUUCCAUACUUCUGGCAAUGACCGCUCCUUUUUCUGAUCUCCGACACCGAAUAUCUGUACCACACCCAGGUACUUACUUAUACCACAUGCCUUCUAUUGUCCUUUAACUGUUUGUGUGUAUGUAUUUUAUGGACCAAAUGAAGGGACCUUCUCCAGGGCUUGGACCAUAUCCUCCAGAAAGGGUAAGACAGUCAGUGCUGUGGAUAUAGUGUGCAGUUGAUACAUAUUCAUUAGAUUACCUUCACUAAUAAGUUUUUCUUUGUAGAUGUUCUUCAUUAAUCAUGUCAGUUUCUCCUUUUAAAAUUGUGUUCUCUGAGUUUUACAUUUAACCGCAUGAAGACUUUUUGUUUAGUAGCUUCAUAUUAUUGGUUUGCUAAUUAAUAGGGCUGAACUUUUCAUUUUCACCUAGCACAUUUUUUUUUUCAUAGAUGAGGAAUUCUUGCAAUGUGCAUGGUGGUAAUAACAGCUAUUUGGGGAAAAAUCAGCAAGAGUGUGCUAAAUACCGUCCAAUGCUCCUACAUUCUUCUGUCAUUGGAAAGGUUUAUAAACUGAAAAGUAUCACAACUUUAAUGGGAUUUGAGAUCAGUUAAUUUGAUUCUUAGCUUCUCGAAUGCAACCUUUUGAGAAAAAAGGAACUUAUGGUUCAAUUUAAGACAAAGCACUAGGAAUUACGUGUCUCAUGACCUCAGAACAUGAAGGAUUGUUUUGUUUCUAACACAGGCAUUGACGUGUAGAGAAGAACUCCUCACUCUACUCCUGUCACUCCUUCCACUGGUAUGGAGGAUACCCGUUCAGGAAGAGAAGGCAGCAGGUAUGUUUCUUUUAUCGUAUCACUUGCGUUACCAAAAUUCCACUGGGGAAAAAAGUUCCGUUGAAAAGCUCCUUCUGCCUUGGUAGUUGAUACACUUCAAAUUCAGAACAGUGUCUAUUAGUGUGAGACUUGACAUGAGAAGUUCUUUACGCAAACACAUUUUUAUUCCUGCUAAUACAAAAACCAUGGUGCUUCUUAGGGGAUUACUCAAACGUAAUGACGUAAUGACGAUUGGAAAACAUAUGAGGAAGGAGAUCACUCAGCAGAAGGAGUAAAUGUAGGUGUGCAACCCUGUCUGAGAAAUGGAUAGUGAAACGUUCAAAAAAAGAAAUGACAUUUCCUUCGCUUAUUUUAAAGACUGCUUUCUAUGACCAGUGCUCUACCAGUGACUUUUGCUGUUUAGUUUAGGGUUUGGUUUGGUUUUGUUUUAACAUUUCUUUGAAAGGGUUAAUUGGAAGGAAUACUUUGUUUCAAGGCUGGGUAGAAUUCUUUCACUAAGGUCAAUAUCUGUUGUUAGUUUCUGAUUUUGAAAAAACUUACACACACACAUAUAUCAUAUUAAGUGUAUGAAACUUCGUUUAAAUGUUUCAGUAGAGGACUUACAGUUUUCCUCUUGACCAUUACGUGAUACGUGGGAUAUGUGAAUUGUGAGAUGUUUAGUGAUCUCUCAGGAUAAAAAUAAAUCUUUAUAUAUUGUAUUUUAAUGCCACGUAUGCAUUUUAAUUUCUGAUAUGAAGCUCUCUUCAGGGGAUUAAGGUCUUGUAAGAUUGCCAUCCUGCUUAUUGGUUGAUUCACUAACUCUCUGCUCUUACUUACUUCUGAUUUUGUAGAAUUCACAAAUUGUCUGGCGCUUAAGAUGUCUGGUAUUCUUUUGGGAAAGCUGUCUUCCUUGCCUGCGUCUUUUGCAUCGGUAGAAUUUGUCCAACUCCUUUUAAUUUCUCCCCUUCCUCUCUUAAUUAAGGCCGAUAUCUUUUAUUUAGAGAUUGUUAUUUAUUUGUUCUAAAUUGCAACUAUAUUUUUCACAUAGAUCUUUCUACAUAGCAGUGCAAAGGGAAAGACCGAUUUUCUGAACUUUUUAGUUAGUAAGGAAGAUUUAUGCAUUUCCCCCAGAGGGAGGUAUUGUGCAUGGGCCAUGUGCUGGGGCCCUCAGUUCGAGGCACUGAGGACAAAACGGGGAUGCCUGUUCCUAGCUCACUGUGAGGCACAUUCAGUAAUAUUUUGAAGAACUCUUUUAACCUCAAUCUUUGUGAAUAAUCUAUUAUAUGCUUUUAAAAUAAUUUUGGGAAAUCUUAAAGUUCUUAAGUUAUAUCAAUAAUAUAGACUAAGUACUAUUUUUGAGAAUAUAAUAUGCCUUUGUUUCUUAAUUAAUGGGACUGUUGAAGGAGAUUUGUAAUAUAGUAUGAAGAGUAGUGCCAAAUCCUAGAUAAUCUAGAGUCUCGUCUGUUGAUGUCAGAGUGUAAAGUAUGGUUUUUAAAUUAGAUUUUCUUCCCUAAUUUUGUUCUCCUUUGUUGUGUUCCAAAUCAAUUUGUAUCCCCUGAACCAGUCUACCUGGGACUGAGCAUGAGAAAAAUAAUUAUGGGGGGAAAGUGAUCUGGAGACAUAACACAUCGCUAAGGGAAAUCAGCCCCAGUAAAAAUUAACGGAGGAAAAGCUCCUAAAGUGGAAGAUAAAUAAGAGAAUAAUCACCUGCACAAAUUGAGUUUGAAAACAUAUUAAGGUAUUCUAAAUUUUCUUUCUUCAUUUUAUUAGAUUUUAAUCUACCGUUCUCAGCUGAUAUAAUCCUGGCCAAAGAAAAGAACUCAAGUUCACAAAGAUCUACUCAGGAAAAAUUAUAUUUAGAAGGAAGUGCCCCAUCCGGUCAGGUUUCUGCAAAAGUAAAUGUUUUUCGAAAAAGCAGACGACAGCGUAAAAUCACCCACCGCUAUUCUGUAAGAGAUGCAAGAAAGACACAGCUCUCCACCUCAGAUUCAGAAGCCAAUUCAGAUGACAAGAGCAUGGCAAUGAAUAAGCACAGAAGGCCCCGUCUGCUACAGCAUUUCGCAACACAGUCUCCUAAAGAAGACCACCUUACAGCUAAACUUGACCACUUAGCAACCAAAGAACGGACUCCUCCCGACACCAUGGCUUUGGAAAAUUCCAAGGGGAUCCUUCCAAGACAGGAGUCAAACACCGACAUUUUGAGUGAGCCAGCUGCCUUGUCGAUUCUCAGUCACAUGAACAAUUCCCCAUUUGACUUAUGUCAUGUUUUGUUAUCUUUAUUAGAGAAAGUUUGUAAGUUCGACAUUACCUUGAAUCAUAAUUCUGCUCUAGCAGCCACUGUAGUGCCCACGCUGACUGAAUUCCUAGCGGGCUUUGGGGACUGCUGUAAUCUAAGGGACAGUUUGGAGAGUCAGAUGGUUUCUGCAGGCUG